This 57403-nucleotide long non-coding RNA is filed under the name Citrus maxima (pomelo). Its description in RNAcentral is "long non-coding RNA (CMAX_LNC000214)". The record is from RNAcentral. Lineage: Eukaryota; Viridiplantae; Streptophyta; Magnoliopsida; Sapindales; Rutaceae.
AUAACUGUAUGGCUAAGCAAUCUAUGCAAUUUUAUCUUGUCGUAUGUUUGAGCUCAUUUUUUGUUGCAAUUCUGAAUAUUUGGUAUGAAUUAUGUGAUACCGGACAAUACUGUUAACUUGUUCAUUUCUUAAUUUUAAUAUCUUGUCAAAGUCACUAAUAGCAUUUCAUCAUGCUAUGAGUUAAACAUGGAACAAAUGACGACAUGCAGUUGUGGAAUGUGGUAGAUCUCUGGAAUUCUAUGUCCUUAUGCUUGUAGGGCAACACAAUACAUUAGUUAAAACAUUAAAGACUAUGAUGUCCGCAGAAAAUUAUAUGUCAACAUAUGCACCAGGCAUGAUGAAAUUAGCCAAAGACAGUGCUUGGAAACAAUUAACUAACUUUUGGCAUUAGGCGUAUCAAGUUCAAUUCGGUAUUUCACAAAACUUAAACUAACUUAUUCCUAAUUAUAGUGGACACAAUUAACUAACUUUGGCAACUGUUCUGAAGAGGAUGACUUCUUCAGGAUGACAUCAACUACCAGCGAUGAUACUAUCAGUAAGCUGCUUCUGCUAUCUAUUAAAUAUUACUGCUAAACGUAAUAUUGACAAUUUGUCUGUGUGCAGGCCUGUGAUAACCACUUGGAUCGGAUAAAGGACUGGGACAUCAACAAUUUGCCCAGAAACCAAUAAGAUAUCAUUGUAAUGUUUAAUUAUACAUGUAUUAGUUUCUCUUUGGAUGGUGCUCUUUGUUAUGCAAAAGUAUGGCGACUAUGUUUCAACCAGUGUAUCUAUUAUAUACACUAACUAUGAAUUACUAGAAAUUUUAUUACAUUAAUCAUUUUUAGAUAGCCACUCAUCUCAAACGAAACAAACUGGUCAGAGACACUUGACCCAACAUGCUUGUGAUCGACCUUAGAAUAAAUUUUUCUCACUCAAUAUAGACAACUUCUGUGAGGUUAAUAUUUCUUCAAAUGUCAAGAAAAGCAUUGGCCACAUGAAUGCAUACACAUGUUUUUGUUGGGAAGUUAAGCAGACGGGAACAACAUUGGGCUAUAUACACCAUUACCUUAAAUGAAGCAAAAAUAUCUUGUGCUUAUCAAAGUUUGAAACUAAUUCUGUGCUUAUCAAGAAUCUAUUAAUAACACAUUAUACUCAUACACCAAACUUUAAUCUGAAUGAAUCAAGUAAUUCUAUGUUAAUCAAAGUUUUUAGACUUAUACGAUGAGGGUCUAGUUUAUAAAAAUGCAAAUAUCACUGAAAUCUGAUAAUCCUUUACAAACAAAUAUGAUUUAUUCAAUUAUCGCAAACAAUUAUUUUAUCAAAGUUAAUUACAUUAUUGCUAAACUUGUAUAAGCUUUCCUGUUUCAAACAUAUCUACUUAAUUACAUUAUUCAUCGACAGUGUUACUUUGCUUGUAGAAGUUUCAUUUUUUCAUACCUUAAUCACUAUUUAACGCUUCGUUUUCCAAUAGUUAUAAUUCUUCAAAUUUUGGUUUUAUCCUUCCAUAAUUAUAAAUUGAUACUGAUUCGCACGACUCAAAAAAAAGUGGUCAAUUACUCUAAAAGUAUAAAUCUGGCAAUCAAUAAUUACUUAAAAAUAAUUGCAAAAAAAAAUUAAUAAGGAAUAGUAUAAAUUUAAAAACCGCUAAAGUUACGAGAUCCAUGCUUGAUAUUUAAAUCAUGGUCAUAAUACUCUCUCACACACACACAUAUAUAUGUAACCACUUUUAAUAUUAUGUGACUUAGUUCUUAAUUAACCACUCUAUAAAUAAAUAUGAGAAUUAAGUACAUAUUAUGCCACAACUUUAUUGGAGUGUUCCCACUACCAUAUUAGUAGUCAACAUUAAGUCUAAACAUCCACAUAAUAUUUUUGGUGAACUUGCAACCACAACCUUUAAAUGACCUUUGAUAAUACAAAUACAAUCCAAGGGGUCCAAAAUUGCAAGUAUUGUCAUGCAUAAUAAAACAGUUCAUUCAACAUAAUCAAUGGCUAUAAAGAAGUCAAAUCGGGAUCCUCCAUUGGAUUUUUUUUUUUAAUUAUUCAAGGUGGUUGAAUCACUAUAUUGAUAAGUAUUAAAUUUACUUAAUUUAGUAUAAAGAGGACACACAUCAACUUUUCAGAAUUAAUGUUAGAUAAAACGGCUACCAAUAUUUUUGUAAAAAUUAAAAUUAAAAUUUUUACUUUUAUUUAAUAUAUACUUUCUAGUAUUAAUCAUUGAUGAACAAUUUUUUAUUUCAUCGCCGUCUAGAUUGCUUUUAUCUUAUACAAAUUUGUUUAAAACGUUUAAAUAGUUUCUAACCACUAUAUAGUUUUAUAUGUCCUUAAUCUUGUUAUCGACAACUGACCAACAUAUUGUUACCUACCAUUAUAGUUGUGUAAUUUACCUUUUGUUAACUGACUUCACCAAUAUAUUUUAAAAGAAACGUGGCCAUCUGUUGCUCGUUGGAUCACUUGCUUUUAAAUCCAAUAAUUCCAUGAGAUAAAGACAAAACGCAUGCUAUAAUGCUACGGUUACAACAUAGACGUGGCCGGAGAGGUAAAAAAAAAAAAAAAUGUAUUUGUUUAGUAACUGUACACUUUUUCAUUCAUUUUGUCCACUUCCAAAUCCUCCAGAGAAACAACGCAAAUAAAAAAGAUAUUUAAGAAAUUUGAUGCCUUGUUCGCCGAAUCUCUCCAUUUUUAAAUAGUGUCGUGAUCCUGAACAUGUGAUAUGGCGCCUAUGUUACAUUUGAGUCGGACCAUUAGCAUUCCUCCAAAAUCUUAUUCAAAUUCUUUUUUUAAUUAUAUUUUAUUUAAUAUUAAAAAUAUUUUUUUUUACUCUUUCAGUCUUAAUAUUUAUAUUUUUCUCUUUAAUUUUUUUAUUAUUUAAUUUUUAAAGAAAAUAUCUAAAAAAAGUAAGAAAAACAUUAUAUUUAAAAAAUAAUGAAUAUUUUAUGGAUUUAAUACAAUUUUAUCCUACUUAUAAAUUUUGAGUUUAUUGGGUUCAACAAUUAGUUUGAGAAUCCUUAAAAAAUUAGUUGCAUUAUUUAAUUUGUUUUUACCCUAUGUUGUAUCUUAAUUAAAUUAUUAUAUUUAUUACAAGAAUUUUAUUUUGGCUUAGAGGAUUACUUCUUAAAUUCAAAUUAUUUUAAUGAUAACAAAAAAUUUAUAUUGUGCAAGCAAAAUAAAAUUGAGAAGAGAAAGAAAAUAUAAAUGGUUUAAUUCUAUUUAUAUUUAUCCUUAAAAUAUAAUUGUAAUGUAAAAAGAAUUUUAUGAGAUUAAUGAAGGGGUGCCGAUAGUCGAACUCAUUAUAAUUUUUGUAACAAACAAUUCAAGAAUAUGUUUGGACCGAAAUUCACAAUUUUCACCACAUGAUUUAAAGCACACAUAAUUCAUAAUUUUCUCCACAUAAUUUAAAACCAACCCUCUUUCUGGACUCCACUUUUGAGAAGGACGUUACCCACCAAUACGAGUAACCAAAAAAAAAAAAAAAAGGAACCCUCUUUCCCCCUCUGCUUUUAUUCUCAAUCUCUUUGUCACUUUGUUUUUUUUUUUCCUCCUCUCUCCAUGAUAUUUAAAUGAUUGUAAAUAUUUCUUUCAUUUUAUAAAUUAUUUUCAAAUUUUUUAUUGUACUUAGUUAUUUUUUAAUAAAAUUUUUAAAAUUAAAUAAAUUAUUUUAUUUCUACUAAUAAAAUUUUAAAUUUUUAAAAGUAGAGAUUAAAUUUUUUACGAUAUUAAAAUAUUUAAAAUAUCUUUUAGAUAUUUAACAAUUUUAUUUUUAUUAAAUAAUUUUAAAAUUUUAUUUAUUAAAAUAAUUUUAUAAUUUUUAAUAAAAAAAUUUAUUAAUAAAAAUGUUUUAAAUAAAUUUUAUUUAAAAUUUUAUACCAAAUGAAUCAUAAGGCAAAAACACUGCACUUACCUAUCCAUACUGAUUAAACCCCCUCGCCGACACCUCUGCUCUCACCAUCAAGCAUCAACACUUAAUAAUGACAAUUAUUUGUGUUAGCAUUUUGGUCAAAAGUUGGACCCCCCCCCCCCCCCCAAAAAAAAAAAACAAAAAAUUUUUAUGAUAAUAAUUAACAAUCAUAAAUAAAAAUUAGGGAAAAUGACAUUCAACCCACAACGUUUAAGAAAAUGGAUAAAAAAAUCCUCUUCAACGUUUUAAAAAGGAUUUAUAAUCCCCUUUCAGUUAAUAAAUACCGUUUGUUUUAACAAUAAAUAUAUUUUUAAUUUUUAAUUUUUAAUUAUUAUUAUACUCUUAUAAUAAAUAAAUUAAUAUAUUAAUUUGAGAUAUAUCACAAUUAACAAAUGUCAUCUAGCUAGCGUGGGUUGGAAUCGUUCUUUUAAGUUUUGACCAAAUCAAUAAAGUAUGGUUUAAAAAAAAAAACUCUCGAUUCUUUAAUCAAAUGUGCAAUAAAUAUUAACUAAUUCACUAGCACUCAUCUCAAACCAAAAUAAACUAAUAAAAAAAUCAUUAAUUUUCAGCACCAAAACGAAGUAUCAUGACAAACAAGAAACAACUCAGCCACCUACAUACCCAAAACCCCAAAAAUCCAAAACUUAUACACCAAGAAGCCCAAAAAAAAGCCGUAUAAUUCUGGUUCAAUAUUUGAACAUAGAUUCUUUUCAUGAUAAUGAAAUCAUUUAUAUUUAUUUUUAUAAUAAAAAAUUACAAAAAGAUAAAAAAGAAAAUUAGCAACUGCACUACGAUGAACAUGGAUACUAACCAAAACUUCUUCCAAAGAACAUGUUAACCUUUAUCUCUCACUAUAAGUGUCGCCGUCAAGUCAAUCUAGUGUAAUGGUUUUGAUUCCUCAAAGAAAAAGGGUUUAAUCAAAUUUCGUUUUAUUAGUAAUAAUCACAUAUGAAAUGUUUGAUCAUUAGAAAGGUAUAAUUUAUAGCAAAUAAUUUGGGCAAAAAUAUAAUUGUAUCUCAAUUUUUAAUUUUAAAAAAAUUAUUAAUUGUGACAUGUCUCAAAUCAAUAUAUUAAUUUAUAUUUAUUAUAAAGGUAUAAUAGUAAUUAAAAAUUAAAAAUAAAUUUACUAUUAAAAUAAACGGUGUUUGUUAACGAAAAAGAAAUUAUAAGUUUUUUUUUAAAACGUUGAGAAGUUUUUUAUCUCUUUUUUUAAAAGUUGCCUUUUCCCUAAAAAUUAAUAAUGGGUGUGUUAGCAUUUUGGUCAAAAGCCGAUUUGGCCUUCACAUUAAUUGGAAUUUUGGAUCUAUAAUAUGAUUUUCACCGAAAAGAUAAUUUUGCCGCUAAUUAUUUGGGUAGUCAGAUAAUAAUAAUAAUAAAAUGUUAGUUUCUCUUCUUCAUUUUUUUUCCCCUUUGAAGUCUUUCAACAAAAAUGGGUGGCAUCAUCUCAACCUUCUUCUCAGCGGACACAAUUCGUCCAAUUUUAUUUUACGUCGGUGGACAAGCAAAGAAUAUAUGGGGUCUUAAAGGUAAUCUCGAUGACUUGCAAACUGAAACGGAGAACUUGAUUGCGAAAAAACAAGAUCUGCUGAAUAAGGUUAGGCUUGCUGAACAAACACAGCCUCGUGGCCAACGGACGAGCACGGUGAAACUCUGGUUCGAAAGGGUGGAUCGAAGUGUAACUCUUGUUGAGGGGCUGCAACAAGAAAGAGAUCAAGAGAUUGACAGAUUGUGUCUUGGAGGCUUCUGUUCCAAGGACUUGAUUUCAAGCUACGACUUCGGCAAAAAGGUGGAGAAGUUGAAGGAAGAAGUAAUCAAAUUGAGAGAAAAAGGAGAAGCGAUGAAAGAAGUUUAUGAGGGGGUACCGGAAGGUGCAGCGGUUGCAAUAGCUGUUGACCGAACAAUUGUUGGUCAAGAAUCAAUACUUGACCAAGUUUGGAGAUGCAUCACUGAUCAAAAAAAGAAUAAUGGAAUUAUUGGCUUAUAUGGUAUGGGGGGCAUUGGCAAAACUACUCUGUUAAAACAAGUCAAUAACAAAUUCUGCAGUGAGGAGCAUGAUUUUGAUGUCGUUAUCUGGUCGGUUGUAUCUAGAGAGCCAAACUUGAAUCAGAUUCAAGAGGAUAUUGGCAAAAGGAUAGGCUUCUCAACAGAUUCAUGGGAGAGAAAAAGUUUUGAAGAAAGGGCUUCAGACAUCACCAAUACUUUAAAGCAUAAGAAGUUUCUAUUGUUAUUGGAUGAUAUAUGGGAGUCCGAAAUUGAUUUAACCAAAUUGGGCGUCCCUCUUCAGACACUAGAUUCUGGGUCCAGAAUAGUCUUCACAACUCGUUUUGAGGGUACUUGUGGUAAAAUGGGAGCCCAUAAGAAUCGGUACAAAGUGUUUUGUUUGGGAGAUGAGGAUGCCUGGAAAUUAUUUGAGGGGGUGGUCGGGAGAUACGUUCUUAACAAGCAUCCCGACAUUCCGAAGUUAGCUGAGGAUGUGGCACGUCAGUGUCAUGGUUUGCCGCUAGCACUCAAAACAGUAGGUAAUGCCAUGGCGAGCAAAGAGUACCCUGAAGAAUGGAAAGAAGCAAUUGAGAUCCUAAGCGAAUCAGCUUCUAAAUUCGAAGGUAUGGAGAAAAAGGUGCUUUCGAGCUUAAAGUUCAGCUAUGACAGUUUGCCGAAAGAUGAACUUCGAUCUUGUCUCCUGUACUAUUGUUUAUUUCCCGAAGACUCUGAAAUUGAAAAAACCGAGUUGAUAGAGUAUUGGAAAAGUGAAGGAUUUGUGGAUUCCAGCAGCGGGUGGGGGGUUCUUGGUGCUCUCGUUCGGGCAUGCUUAUUGGAGGAAGCAGGUGAUCGUGUAAAAAUGCACGAUAUGAUCCGUGACAUGGCAUUAUGGAUAGCAAAUGAAGUAGAGGAGGAGGAGGAGAACUUUUUGGUUCGUGCAGGAGUUGGAUUAACUGACGCCCCAAAGAUUGAAGAAUGGGAAGGGAUCAAAAGGAUAUCCUUGAUGAGGAACAAAAUUCGAAGUCUACCACAAAUUCCCACUUGUCCGCGUCUGCAAACAUUGCUUCUGGCGAGUAAUCGUAUUAAGGAGAUCACUGAGAGUUUCUUUCAAUCUUUGCCUUUGCUUAGAGUUUUGAAUCUAAGUGAAAAUCAUUACCUAACUGAACUACCUGUAGGGAUUUCAAGAUUGGUUUCAUUACACCAUCUUGAUCUGUCUUUUACUGAAGUGCGUGGGUUGCCGCAAGAGCUCAAGGCAUUGGUGAAUCUGAGAUAUUUGAACUUGGAGUAUACAAGUGAAAUGUCUAGAAUUCCAGAGCAAUUAAUAUCAAGCUUUUCGAAGUUACAGGUACUCAGGAUGCUGUAUUGCGGUCCACGUCUCCAGCCAAUAGUGGAAGAAGGCAACGUUCUAUCUGCUGAUGCUGAAUCAUUGAUGAAGGAAAUCCACUGUUUGGAACAAUUAAAUCUCAUCACCUUGUCCUUACAUGGUUCGCGUGGUGUUGAAAACUUUCUGAAAUUCCCAAAGCUGCAGAAUAUCACUCAAGCUCUGCACAUCGAAGACUGCAACAGUCUACCGCUCAAUUUGUUGCAUCUAGCAAACAUGGAGCAUCUUGAGAAGUUAUUUAUCGAGGAUAGUAAUUUGGAAGACUGGAAUGUCGACUGCGCGGGAGAGGUACAAAAAAUGCGUAAACUUCACUUUGUUUCAAUAUACGAAUGCUCAAAUGUGAAGGACUUAACGUGGCUUGUUUUUGUUCCAAAUCUCAAGUGGCUGCGAAUAUUUGAUUGUGAUGACAUGGAAGAAAUAAUCAGUGUUGAAAAUUUUGAAAAAUUGAGUGAAGUUUCAGAGAUGAUGGGAGAGCUUAACUUGUUCUCGGAACUCGAAUCUCUGAAUCUAGGAUAUGCAAGUAAUUUGAAGCGCAUCUACCGCGAUCCCUUGCCCUUUCCACAGCUGGAGCAAAUUUACAUAUCGAAAUGCCCAAAGUUGAAGAAGCUCCCGCUCAAUUCCAGCAGCGCAAAGGGACGUAAAAUUGUCAUUUACGGGGAGAAAGAAUGGUGGGAAGAGCUACAAUGGGAGGAUCAAGCCACUCAAAGUGCUUUCUCUCCCUGUUUGGCUGUUUCGUGCCUUCAUGAAUAAUAAAGUGCAAUAAGGCGCAAAAGUGUGAAUAAAGUUUCUGCGUGUGCUUAAUGAUUAUCUUGUCUAUCCAUUUCAUUUAAUUUAAAAGCUUUCUACGGUGUUGCGUGUGUGUCACUUGUCAUUCUUCUGCACUGCUGUUUCCUAUUUCCAGUUAAUAAAAUUUUUUUGUUCUUAGAAAUGCUUUGCUGGUAAUAUAUUCUAUUUACUUUCCUCCUAUUUUCAUUACAGCUAAUAAUUGCAUAGUUGUAUAAUUUUUUAAUAUUAUCUUUAUUUUUAAAUAUACUUUUAUUUAUAUUUAUUAUAAAUUAAAUAAAUGUAUGAAUAGAAAUUAAAAUGAAAACUAAGUAUUAAAACAAGAAAUAUAUAUUUUGAUUUGAAUAAAAAUAUAAAUAUUUGUUUGUACUUUUUUAUAUAUAUAUUCAAUAUAAGAAAAUAUUUAUAAAAUAAAAAGUGUAAGAAAAAUAUCUUAUUAUUAAUUCUUAUUCACAUCAAAACAUAUAUUUCUUACUUUAAAUACUUAAUUUUUUAUUCAAAUUAUCAUUCAUAUGAUUUAUUUAAUUUAUAAUACAUAUAAAUAAAAAUAAUAUUGUAAAUUAUGUUGUUAGAAAUUAUUAGUUAUUAUAAAAAUAAUAUGGGACAAAUGGUAAAUCGGAGAUAUUGUUUCCUAUUUUCAGCUAAAAAAUUUAUUUGUUCUAAUAAUUGCUUUGCUAGUAAUAAGGCCUGCAAGUUGCUUAACUGAAUAUGACUUCUUUUUUAAAAAUGUUACUAUCAAUUUCGAUGAUUGAUUAUCUCGAAGUAGUGAAAUUUAUGUAAUGUUGGUAUUAAAAAAAUUUGUGCUACUGAUAAAAAAAGUCCAUUGGAUUCGGCCUAAAUGACGGAUCGUGGCUUGAUUUUCUCAUCCCAAAGGCUCUGUAUCUCACUUUCGAAAGUAGUUUUAGCAUAAUGUAGGUGAAAAAUUAAAAUAUUCUGCGAUCUCUAUAUAGCUUUUCCAACAGAUUUCACCCAUUUGACUGUAGACCAAAGCAUCCAUUGGAUCGAUGCAUUUAUUAAGAAGAGGAUCAUUCGGAGCUACAAUUGGAGGAUCGAGUCACGCAAAGAGUUUUCUCUACUUGUUUCGAUCCUAUGGAGAUAGAGUUUUCAUAGAUUGAUGGUAGGAGCUUUUUUGUCAAUUUAUGUAUCUAAUUGUGUGUAACAUGCUUUCUUGUCUUUCAUAUCAGACAUUGUAAAUUUGUAAUGUUGCCAUUUUCUUUUUCCUAUCAAGAAAGAAAGAGCAUUGCGAGUAGUCUUUCCAAUUUUCACUCCUUUUUGGUAUGUGAAGAAAAAUAAUAAAGCAAAACAAACUAGUGUUGAAGAAAAAGAAAAUGACAAGUUCAAUAGGGCAAAAGUUCACCAUCCCUUUACCAUUUGCUCAAGCAAGUAAGCUUUACGUUUACUUCUUGAGAUUUGAACUAACCAGACAACUUGUAAUGUUACCAUAAAGUUCAAAGAUUAGAAGAGAAAAACUUAUGUCUGUUAGGCACUAUUAUUCAGGCUUAAAUAAUAACAAUAAAAUACUACACCAUGUCUGCUCUCUUUUACUUUUCUUGGUUCUGUUGUAAAAUUCAGUUCUAUUUGAAGGAAAUUAUUAACAUCAAAACUAAAUACUUCGUGAGCAUCUACUGACAACAUACUCCAGAUGACACCAUAACCAUAUCAUAUAAAGCAAGAAAUGUGAAAUAAAUACAAAAUGAAUCAUAGGAGGGAAUUACCACACUCUGCGGUCUCUCCUGCUAAACCCUGCAGUUAGAAUGCCAUUUGUCGUGAGCACCUGAAUCCCCAAAGGACUCCCAGCUUCAAGUGGCUUUGACUUAGCUUGCUUUAGCUCCAUUGCACAUACUCACUCACAUGAAGGAAAUGAACAGAACAAGAAACCUCAUCAUGCCGAAUAUGAUAGAUAUGACAAGGCAUUACACUGUAGGAAGCUCCCGAUUUCUCUACAAAACUCUGCAGGUUCUCCACAAUCAAGGCGUGCUCCAUCUUUAACAGAUCACUUCUACCAUUAAGAGAAGGAAGAGAGUUCCUCUCGUGUGGCAGUAAAUCCUUACUUAACACAGGAUUGAAGCCAACCAAGAACGGAAGGCAAUUUCGUUAGAUUAAGAACCGAAUCACCAUCCAAUAUAGUAGCAUUUGAACCAGAACUCUUGUUAAAUUCUUGAAAUCUCCUGCUUUCAUCAGUCUGUAAGAGAAAUGAAGAUGAGAAUAAUAGCCAGAACCGGAUUAAAUUCAAUCUGGUCUUUUGAAGACUUCUAUAACAACUAAGAGAACCCAGUGUACCGCCUACAGAUACUGUCAGGCUUCUAUCAAAUAUCCCAAACACCAAAAACCAACCCAAUUAAGCUAACAAACCUGCAUGAAUAUCUAAAUUUCAAUGCACGUGAAACAAACUCCGUGUUCAAUCCACCAAAACUAGCAAAUUUCAAACUUUAUCACUCAUCAUUCUCUCUCUGUCAGCUGUAUGAGGCUAUGAGAUCAUGUUAUAAUGUUCAUAUUGAUGCUGAAUGUUUUGCCAGCUUGUCUGAAUUCCAUAAGAGAAUGCAAUGUGCACAUUAUUGUGCCUUGCCCACCAUUAGAUUCUAAACCACAAAAUCAUUGUGUGAAGUAGCUGACGUUUCGCACAUUCUUAUCCCUUAUCAUCAAUAUUCUUCUCCUCAAGCUUAGAUCAUGGAAAUUUGAGUGACAAACAUGAUAACAUGGUAACACCAUCUAAACUUUAGGGGCAUAAAGUAACAUAGAAGCAACAUGGGAUGUUUUAAAAUCUAUUAUAAUUUGCUUAGGCCCCUGAAUAAAAUUAAAACUUGUAAUGAAAUAAAGUAGCAAAAUAAAGAUUGGAGGUCGCAUGCUUGAUAUUUGAUGCUGUCAAAAUUAAUUUGCAGUGCUGAAAUUGCUGCUCCAAUAAAUUUUUCAAUGGGAUUUCUAUAUUUACAACAAAUUUUCAGUAUUGAAACAGGAUUAAAAUCAUAAAGUAUCUUUUAAACAGCAGAGGCAACAAGAUCCUACAGAAAAAGAAGGCAAAAAGUAGUUACAAGCUACAGAAACGCAAAUAUUCUACUGGCCAACUCCCACUAAAUUCGAAGCAAUUCUAAAAUCUCAGCUUGUACUACGACAUCAUUCCUUCUAUGUGGCCCAACUGUACUUCACCCAGAAAUCACAUUUCUUCAUCAGAGAUAAUUUUACUUCUAAUAAGAGAGAAUUUUUUAUAUGCAUGGCUUUACAGUAAUGAAUAAUUUUCCUUAAAUCUUUUCUAACAGACAAGAAAGCACAAAGCACAAAAAUUGAUAUAAACAACUUUUCUCGAAGCUUUUUCAUAAGAAAACCUGAACAUGAUUGCUUCUCUUAGAAGGCCCCCUAGCUUCCUGCAAGAACCUUGUGCCCCCAAAAAAAACAAAGGAUUAUAAUUAGGCAUAAGGCUCCCAAUGUUCUUGCAGGAAUUAUGAUGAAUAUGAGAGUUUCAAAAAAGAAAAAAAAAUAUUACGACAACCUCUAGGCGGAGGAAAUCAGUUUUCUAGGAAUUCGUUAGAUUGGUGAAGUUAUAGAACCGCAGCAAUUUGCUGUAGUUUGGAAUGUUUUUGCCUUUCAUUAUAGCAUUUGAAAAGGCUCAAGGAUAUAGAAGAACCUUGGCUACAAAUUCAGGGAAGAUUUCACUUAUAAUGAGAAAUAAUCACCAUUAUUAUAUACAAUGAGAAAACAGUUAUGGAAGAAAUAGAAAGAAUUACCCGAAACGGAGGAUUUGGAAGACAAUGAGACAAAAGUAUAAAGAAGAAGAAAUUGGAGAUAUAAUGACUGCCUAUUUCUUUGAUGAACCCAUCAAAAACGGCUUGAAAAUUAAAGAAAUUGUAAAAUGCUGUAACGGAGGAAUUGAAACUGUAAAAGAUGCAAGUUAAUUCAUGGGGCUGGCCAUCUUGAUUGAUUGAACACCUAUUAGAUUUUUAAUAUUAAAGAACUCACUUUAAUGAUGUUUAAUUGGUAGUAGCCCUUUAUAGUCUUUAAACCUUUAGCAGUGCAAAGUCACAAGCUUUGUCCAGAAUCUAAGGGCGUAAGUUAUAGGCGAUGGGUGCCAUCACCUGGGCAACGACGUACAUCGCUUGGGCGACAAGCCAAUUUACUAGGCUCAUCGCAAACAGCCUUCGUCGCCUGGGCGAUGGCCAAAUCCAUCCAAUAAACUUUCAGCUCAUGUUUGAUAGUCUAAAAAAAGUAGUUAUGGUGGCCAUCACACAUCACAUUUUACUGACAAGCUGUCUUAAUUUUCAUAGAAAAUUGUUCCUACUGAUUUUCCAAUACUGGCCUAAUACUUGCAGAUUAUUAAACGAUUAUGGAAUGGCGGCGAUUUUAGACCAGUAAUUUUGUCAAUAAUUGCUAAUUCGCAAUCCCUUUACAAAUCUAAUAAUCUACUGCAUACACGCUCUUGAUGACUUGGAUUCUCAAAAAAUAACCAUUUUACGCCGCUGAAGCGCAGAAAAAUCAAUUGUUUUAUCCACUUCCAAAUAAAACUUAUUCUAGUAAAUGCGAUAAAGAAAUGUUUAUUUCAAUUUCCAACCCAGAUCUCAUAAAGAAUUUCUCACUCAAAUAAACAAAUAAAUAUCAUCUGGUAAUGGUAUGACAUUUAUUUUGAAGUAAACACUGGCCCACUAUUUUCUCAAUUUUCCAUUGUUUGAGGACACCAUUUUCUCAAUUGAAGAACAUGUUCUGGCCAAAAUUCACAAUUUUCUCCACGUGAUUUAAAGCACACAGGAUUCACACUUUUCUCCACGUGAUUUAAAAGCACACAGAAUUCUCCUGACCUUAAUUACGGAUCUUAUUAUGUUUAUUGAAAUCCAAUAUUGUAGACUCAUUGUUGUAGCUAGAAAAUCAUAUUAAUAGAGUAAAAUUUAUAAAUAAUCAAAGAAAAGAGUUCACGCUCUUACUUCAUUACUUUUAUAAUCUUAUUAGUAUAUCUACUUACAUGUCUUCAGAAAAUACAGUUUUAAGAGGAUAUUUUUAUUUUUCUUCGUAAUAAUAGAUUUAAUUUUCAUCUUUCUAAUGUUAAGUUGCAUAUUUGGAGUAAAUAAUAUUAAAUUUCAAAUUAGAUCACAGACCCCAUUUUAAUAGAUUCAAUUGGAUUUUGGACAUCUAAUUAAACAACUGGACUAAUAAAUUGCAAAUGAAUGAGAUUUAUAUGUGAUUUUAAAAUAAAAUUUGAACUCAAAUCUAUGUAUUUAAUUAAUCCAACAGGACAAAUUUAUAAUUUUCACCAACUAAAUAAAAUAUGUUAUCAGAAACUUUUGGACCAAGUCGCGCACUUCGUGGGUCUGCUACUACUUAUAGUCCAUUCUCAUUCAACUUUCACAUCUUUUAUAUUAUGUACAAAUUGGAUUAUAUUCUAAAACAGUGUUUCUAAUUGUUUAACGUUUUAUUUCUGGGUAUAUUUAGAGAUUAAAAAAUAUGGGAAACAUAAUUAAUUUUAUCAAAUAAAAAGGAGUAUUGUUCAUUUUUUCAUAAACAAUGUGUUAAAAUACUUUUGGUAUUUAAGAAGUAAAAAUUUUUAUUUUUGUUUCAUAAAAAAGCAUUCAAAAUUAUAUUAAAUAAAAUUAAAGAUUAACAAAACUGACAUCUGAAUUUCGUGCAAAUUAUAAUAAGUUUAUCUCCAGCGUGAGUAACAUUAAAGCUUGGCUAGCAUCAUCAUAUUUUAUCUCCAGCAUCAAAAUUCUGAUAACAUCAACAUCAUAAUUCCAAGGUUGUCAAAACUAAUUAUCAAAUUAAAAUCCUUUGUGAUUUAAGCUCUCUUGGACUUUUAAAAAUGUUAUGCCACCCCUUCUUUAAUAAUAGUAGUAUAUGAUUAUGAUUUAAUUAUUUUAUUUUUUUAAUUUAUCAAACACCAAUCACUUAAAUUAAACUCAAGAAAAAAAUUAGAACAUCAAAGAAUUUUAAUUGCUUCUUAUUAAGUACUAGAAUUAACUUCUCCCAAUGAUAAUUUAUUAAGCAAACCAUAAUGAUCAUCUUACACUAAAGAACCAACCCAUCUUCAAAACACAAGAAUUUAGUACAAAUAAUUAUCCCAAUAAAGUUUAACGAAAAAGAAAAGAGAUAUUUUUAUUAUUUCUUUUACUUUCUUAGUGGCUCUGCUACUACCUAUAGUCCAUUCUUAUUCAACAUACAGAUCUUUUAUAUUAUAUGCAAAUUAAAAUAUAUUCUAAAAAGUGUAUCCAACUGGUUAACAUAUUAUUUCUAUAUAAUAAUCAAUUUUAUCAAAUAAAAAGGAGUUUUGGUCAUUCAUUUGGCUCCGUUGCCACUGUUGUACGCUACAAAAGCUUUUGUCUUUGCUGACUCAGUUACUGUAAAAUGUCGUUCAGCCCCUUAUACUCUAUUUUAUUUAUAAGAAUUAUAAAAAUUUCUAAUUACCUACACUUUCAAAAUUCAAUUUAUCUCCUUACAAUCUUUUUCAUUUACUUUUUUUUGUAAGUAUUAAAAAGUUUCUAUUUACAACCACGACAUAGUAAUCAUCAUAACACACGAAUAUUUAUAAAAAUAUAAAAAUAUCACUAAAUUAAUACUAAAAAAUGUUUUCCUCUCUUGAGGAAUUAUGGUAUCUCAUUUUCGAUCACUCAUUAUCAACAAAAUUUUCAAAGAUAUGAUCAUUCAUCUUCUUUAUAAUAUCAUCUUAUAAUAAUUAAUACUUUCAUGAUUAAAAAAAUUAACAAAAUAAAGAUAAAUUCCCUUUGAAUCCAUCCCUCUCUACUAUCAUUUUCUCUUCAUUAGCAACAUUUAUCAAUAAUUGAAGCCACCAUCAGACUCAUCACACAGAGAGAGUGAGAGAGGGGAAGAAGAAACGGGAAAAAAAAAUAUAUGAGACAUUUACAAUUUUAUAGUGUGUUUAUUCAACGAGAUUCAUAUAUAGUUGCUAAGGGGUUUCAUUAGACACAGAGAGUUUAUUACACUGAAACUUUUAAUCCAGUAGUUAAGGCCUCAACAAUCAGAGUUAUUCUUAGCCUAGCAGUACUUAACAAGUGGAUAAUCAGACAAGUGGAUAUUAAUAAUGCCUUAAUGGCAUUUCAGUUGAAGAAGUUUACAUGGCACAACCUGAGGGAUUUGUGGAUCCUACUAAACCCCAACACAUCUGCAAAUUAAAAAGGACUAUAUAUGGCUUGAAGCAAGCUCUCAGGGCUUGGUUUGAUAGAUUCAAAGCUGCAAUGAUUACUCAAUGACAUUUUCAACACUCAAAAUCAGAUAAAAAAUAUCAAAAUAUUUAUAUCAUUAAACUUUUAGGCCUAAUUAACUAAUUAAAGUUCUAAAUUUUUAUUUAGGACAUUAAAAAGACCGGAUAGAUUCUAUUAGCCCAAAAAUUUUAUUUUAAUUUUAAUAUUCAUUAAAUAUUUUAAACUUAAAUCUAUUUUUUAUUUAUUUUUAGAUGUUAGAAUUGCCCACAGCGAAUCACAAUUUUAAUAUCUAAUCUAAUUUAAUCUAAUAUUUGCUCUUGAUUUGCUCUUACUUAACUAUUGUGUUGUAAAGGGAAUAGUCCACAUUUAUAAAGUGCCCACGCCACCCUUGAAAAAGUUAAUUUUGAAUCUAAAUUUGAUUUUAUUUGUAACAAUUUUGUAUUAGACUAUUAAUUUAUUUAUGAUAGUUUGUAAAAGAAGUUUGUAUCCCUUGCAUGCUGCGUUACUUACUAAUUUAAUGUAUGUGACUUUUGUAAUGGAUAUUAAUGCAAGAUAUUUUUCGAACUUUACUUUUAUUUAAAUUUUAUUUUAAUAUGAUUAACUCAAAUCGAAAAUAAAAAAAUGUAUUAAUUAUUCGGGGAUCGGGGACCCUCGGGGAUCCCCUAUUAUUAUUCGGGGAGGAGAUAGAGAUUCUCUUAAGUAAUUCUGACAGGGACGGGAAGGGGAUGAGGACAUACACAAAAUAUUGGGAAUGGUUACGGGGAGAUUGGUCCCCUCCCCUCCCCUCCCCAUUGCCAUCCCUAACUCCCUGACUAAAUAAUUUGGGAAUAUAAGGAUGCAAUAAGAGUUGAGUGGUCUUUAUUCCCAUAGCAUUAUUUUUUUCUCGCUUCAUCCGUGCUCUAUUCAAUCUUUAUGUGCCGCUUGUGUUAUGUUCCUGCAUAUCUAAUUACCUUUAGCUGCUUGUGUUAUGUUUACUUGUUUUGAUCUUAAUCUUUAAUCACUUAGCCUGAAUAAGAAAUAAUUUUUUAUAUUUGCUCUGCAAUGAUGUUAUUCGGUGUUAAUAGCUUCGUUUUGUUACUCUUUUCCGCACAGAUUCUUGAUCUCAACAGAACUUUUAUUUUGAAUAUUCUGCAUAAGGACAAUCUCAUUUAAUACCAUCAGUGAUUUUUCAUUUUUUUUCUCUUUAGUUUUAAUAUGUUUGAUAACUGUAUGGCUAAGCAAUCUAUGCAAUUUUAUCUUGUCGUAUGUUUGAGCUCAUUUUUUGUUGCAAUUCUGAAUAUUUGGUAUGAAUUAUGUGAUACCGGACAAUACUGUUAACUUGUUCAUUUCUUAAUUUUAAUAUCUUGUCAAAGUCACUAAUAGCAUUUCAUCAUGCUAUGAGUUAAACAUGGAACAAAUGACGACAUGCAGUUGUGGAAUGUGGUAGAUCUCUGGAAUUCUAUGUCCUUAUGCUUGUAGGGCAACACAAUACAUUAGUUAAAACAUUAAAGACUAUGAUGUCCGCAGAAAAUUAUAUGUCAACAUAUGCACCAGGCAUGAUGAAAUUAGCCAAAGACAGUGCUUGGAAACAAUUAACUAACUUUUGGCAUUAGGCGUAUCAAGUUCAAUUCGGUAUUUCACAAAACUUAAACUAACUUAUUCCUAAUUAUAGUGGACACAAUUAACUAACUUUGGCAACUGUUCUGAAGAGGAUGACUUCUUCAGGAUGACAUCAACUACCAGCGAUGAUACUAUCAGUAAGCUGCUUCUGCUAUCUAUUAAAUAUUACUGCUAAACGUAAUAUUGACAAUUUGUCUGUGUGCAGGCCUGUGAUAACCACUUGGAUCGGAUAAAGGACUGGGACAUCAACAAUUUGCCCAGAAACCAAUAAGAUAUCAUUGUAAUGUUUAAUUAUACAUGUAUUAGUUUCUCUUUGGAUGGUGCUCUUUGUUAUGCAAAAGUAUGGCGACUAUGUUUCAACCAGUGUAUCUAUUAUAUACACUAACUAUGAAUUACUAGAAAUUUUAUUACAUUAAUCAUUUUUAGAUAGCCACUCAUCUCAAACGAAACAAACUGGUCAGAGACACUUGACCCAACAUGCUUGUGAUCGACCUUAGAAUAAAUUUUUCUCACUCAAUAUAGACAACUUCUGUGAGGUUAAUAUUUCUUCAAAUGUCAAGAAAAGCAUUGGCCACAUAAAUGCAUACACAUGUUUUUGUUGGGAAGUUAAGCAGACGGGAACAACAUUGGACUAUAUACUCAUACACCAAACUUUAAUAAACUAAUAAAUAUAAUUUAAUAAUAAUUUAUUUCUCCUCGCUUAUGUGAGAAAAAGUCAAACCACAUAACGUAUUUAUAUUUUGUUAAGAAAUUUUACUGAUUGAACUAAUUAACACUAAUUUCUUAUCUCUCUUAACCAACGGAUAUUUUGAAGAUAGUUUUUUAUUUUCUAUAUUUUAUGUACUAAAUGAUUUUAAACCUCUAUCACGUCAUGAAUAAAUUGGAGUUUAGGUUGCUUAAAAUAAUAAUAAUAAUAAUAAUAAUAAUAAUAAUAAUAAUAAUUAAUAAAUGUAUUGAUGGAUUUCAUAAUCAUCCCACUUAGGGGUGGGCACGGUUCGGUUCGGUUCGAAAUUAAGUAGAACCGAUUUAAAUCGGUUAUUUUAUAAAAAGAACCGAAUAAGAACCAAACUCAAUAAGAACCAAACUCAAUAAGAACCGAACUCAAACGGUUCUUUUCGGAUCGGUUCGGUUCGGUUCGGUUUUUUCGGUUCUGGGUCUAUUGGGCCUAUUUUGAAUUUUUAAAUUUUUAGCCCAUUGGGCCUCAUAAAUGUAAUAAUUUUUUUCAACAAUUAAUUUAUCCUAAUUUUAUUACAAAUAUUAACAAUAAAUACAAAGUAUUCAAAACACAUUUUAUCACUAAUAUCUUACUAAUUAUUAAUAAGAUACUCCCAAAAUAUGAAAUAUUAAAAUUUCAAAAUACAUAACCAAACUCCAAUACUCCAUCUAUAUAAACAUAAUCAUAAUGUUAUAAAGAGAAAUAACACAUGUUUGAUUUGAAUAAAAUCAUGUUUGAUUUGAAUAAAAUUAUUAACACAUGUUUGAUUUGAAUAAAAUAAAAAAAUAAUUCGGUUCUUCGGUUCGGUUUUUUGGUUCAGCUAAGUGAACCGAAUACCGAACCGACAUUUCAGUUUUUUUUACAAACGGUAUAUUCGGUUUUUUUAAAAAAUAAAAACCGAACCGAAUUAAAAAAAACCGUCGGUUCGGUUUUUUUUAACAUUACGGUUUUUUUGCCCACCCCUAAUCUCACUCCUACGCCUCAAGACAAACAAGCUCACACUUCACGGAUCAGUCAAAGGAUCGGCUUUCAAGUCGUUGAAUUCACGGUGGUCAAACUAACGGAAAAACUAACGUGACGUCAAUCAGAUACGGUUUAUAAUAUAUGUAUCCUCAAUCAACGCAAAAAGUUUGAUCUGAAAAACCCUCUGCCUAAAACGCGUUUUCAGAAACGCGGUUUUGUUUUUCAAGUGGUUCCCAGAGCAUCCAUGCCAUGCUCUGUAUCAAUCAUUUCGUGCAUGUUUGGAGUUUGGCACGGCCAUUUUUACUGACUUUGUUAAGAAGUACUUAGAAGCUCAUUAGGAAAUGAUAACAAACGAAGCCUUGCGCUUUUACAUGUUACAUGCAUUAUUGGUAAGACGGUUGAUGAGUUACGUUAUAUGAACCCACAAUUAGUCGCCCAAUAGCCACCAUAUAUUAAAUAAUCAGUCAAAUUUUGAAUUGGGUAGUUAACUAAUUUCGAAUUACCGUAAGUCAUAAAUAAUGCAGGUUAGUAAGACCCGAGCCUAGGCAAAUUAAGGUCGUUAUCGCCUCUAAAUCAAGGCUGCAUAACCCAAAGUUAAGGGCACAUGUUCGAGUCCCAACUCCACAGUGUUGGAACUCUAUUAUAGUAUUAUUCCCUUUCACAUUAAAAGGAUAGGAUGGUUAUUUCUCUUACAUAUGUAGAUAGAUCAAAUAUAUCUUCUAAAUAAUAAUAGAUUUAUCAUUUUAAAGAGUUGUUUUAGAUAUGUGGAUAGAUCAAAUAAUAGACACCCUUUCCAUGAAAGGAGACUCAUUGAUUAUUGUUAAAAAAAAAAUUCGUUGAUGUUAUUAGAGAACUUGCAAUUUUUUUAUAACACUAAAUUUUUUAAUUUUUUAAGAUUUUUCUAUGAAUAGCAUGAAUUUUUUAUAGCAUUGGUAAUGAGGAUAUUAUGGACCUUUAGAUUUAAAUAUUUUAAUCUUCGCCAUUCAUUCAAUUUAGUGGAUAAAUAACUAAUUACUUAAUUUUUCAAGUUGCAUGUAGUAUAUAAGUUUAUGUAUGUAAUUCUAUUUUUAAUAAAUAAAUAAAUAAAUUUUAAAUCACUAACAAAAAAAAAUGCAAAUAUGUAUGUUAGUUUAGACGUGUACAUAAUAGAUAUGAAUUGAUAUUAUUUAAUUAUUGCACAAGACAUGCUAAUAAUGAUCUCUUUUGUCAAUAAUAAUCAGGAGAAUAAAAUGUUAAUUUCUUGAUUUUACUGGAUGGCUAAGAUCGAGUUAAGUCAAUUUUCGUUAUAUUUGUUAAUCUAAUAAUAUGUUGGCGAAAAAGAGGGAAUAUGAUUACAAACUAAGAUUGAGUUAAUUUUUUUAAUUCAGUCUUUAAAAAAUUGUACAACUGGUUUGAUAAUUGGUUAAUGAAAUUUUAAAUAACUAAAAUCAAGAUAUUAUUUUAACUAUAACUUCUAAUUUUGUACCAAACGUUGAUGAUCUUGAUGGGCGCAGAGGAUAGUUGGGUACGGUGCUGUAGUGGGCAACUAUGAGGAUAAAGUGAUGGUGACUGGAAUUGACAUAGGGGUAUACUUGGAUGAUGUUGAUUAUAGUGCGGCUGAGGCUUUAUGCUUUAGCUUAGAGUUGCUUAUCAAGAAUCUAUUAAUAACACAUUAUACUCAUACACCAAAGUUUAAUCUGAAUGAAUCAAGUAAUUCUAUGUUAAUAAAAGUUUUUAGACUUACGAUGAGGGUCUAGUUUAUAUAAAUGCAAAUAACACUGAAAUCUAAUAAUCCUUUACAAAUAAAUAUGAUUUAUUCAAUUAUCGCAAACAAUUGUUUUAUCAGAGUUAAUUACAUUAUUGCUAAACUUGUAUAAGCUUUCCUGUUUCAAGCAUAUCUACUUAAUUACAUUAUUCAUCGACAAUGUUACUUUGCUAGUAGAAGUUUUAUGUUUUCAUACCUUAAUCACUAUUUAACGCUUCGUUUUCCAAUAGUUCUAAUUCUUCAAAUUUUGGUUUUAUUCUUCCAUAAUUAUAAAUUGAUACUGAUUCGCACGACUCAAAUUAAAGUGGUUAAUUACUCUAAAAGUAUAAAUUUGGCAGUCAAUAAUUACUUAAAAAUAAUUGCAAAAAAAUUAAUAAGGAAUAGUAUAAAUUUAAAAACCGCUAAAGUUACGAGAUCCAUGCUUGAUAUUUAAAUCAUGGUCAUAAUACUCUUUCUCUCUCUCUCUCUCUCUCACACACACACACACAUAUAUAUAUAACCACUUUCAAUAUUAUGUUACUUAGUUCUUAAUUAACCGCUCUAUAAAUAAAUAUGAGAAUUAAGUACAUAUUAUGCUACAACCUUAUUGGAGUGUUCCCACUACCAUAUUAGUAGUCAACAUUAGGUCUAAACACCCACAUAAUAUUUUUGGUGAACUUGCAACCACAACCUUUAAAUUAGGGGUGGGCACGGUUCGGUUCGGUUCGAAAUUAAGUAGAACCGAUUUAAAUCGGUUAUUUUAUAAAAAGAACCGAAUAAGAACCAAACUCAAUAAGAACCGAACUCAAACGGUUCUUUUCGGAUCGGUUCGGUUCGGUUCGGUUUUUUCGGUUCUGGGUCUAUUGGGCCUAUUUUGAAUUUUUAAAUUUUUAGCCCAUUGGGCCUCAUAAAUGUAAUAAUUUUUUUCAACAAUUAAUUUAUCCUAAUUUUAUUACAAAUAUUAACAAUAAAUACAAAGUAUUCAAAACACAUUUUAUCACUAAUAUCUUACUAAUUAUUAAUAAGAUACUCCCAAAAUAUGAAAUAUUAAAAUUUCAAAAUACAUAACCAAACUCCAAUACUCCAUCUAUAUAAACAUAAUCAUAAUGUUAUAAAGAGAAAUAACACAUGUUUGAUUUGAAUAAAAUCAUGUUUGAUUUGAAUAAAAUUAUUAACACAUGUUUGAUUUGAAUAAAAUAAAAAAAUAAUUCGGUUCUUCGGUUCGGUUUUUUGGUUCAGCUAAGUGAACCGAAUACCGAACCGACAUUUCAGUUUUUUUUACAAACGGUAUAUUCGGUUUUUUUAAAAAAUAAAAACCGAACCGAAUUAAAAAAAACCGUCGGUUCGGUUUUUUUAACAUUACGGUUUUUUUGCCCACCCCUAAUCUCACUCCUACGCCUCAAGACAAACAAGCUCACACUUCACGGAUCAGUCAAAGGAUCGGCUUUCAAGUCGUUGAAUUCACGGUGGUCAAACUAACGGAAAAACUAACGUGACGUCAAUCAGAUACGGUUUAUAAUAUAUGUAUCCUCAAUCAACGCAAAAAGUUUGAUCUGAAAAACCCUCUGCCUAAAACGCGUUUUCAGAAACGCGGUUUUGUUUUUCAAGUGGUUCCCAGAGCAUCCAUGCCAUGCUCUGUAUCAAUCAUUUCGUGCAUGUUUGGAGUUUGGCACGGCCAUUUUUACUGACUUUGUUAAGAAGUACUUAGAAGCUCAUUAGGAAAUGAUAACAAACGAAGCCUUGCGCUUUUACAUGUUACAUGCAUUAUUGGUAAGACGGUUGAUGAGUUACGUUAUAUGAACCCACAAUUAGUCGCCCAAUAGCCACCAUAUAUUAAAUAAUCAGUCAAAUUUUGAAUUGGGUAGUUAACUAAUUUCGAAUUACCGUAAGUCAUAAAUAAUGCAGGUUAGUAAGACCCGAGCCUAGGCAAAUUAAGGUCGUUAUCGCCUCUAAAUCAAGGCUGCAUAACCCAAAGUUAAGGGCACAUGUUCGAGUCCCAACUCCACAGUGUUGGAACUCUAUUAUAGUAUUAUUCCCUUUCACAUUAAAAGGAUAGGAUGGUUAUUUCUCUUACAUAUGUAGAUAGAUCAAAUAUAUCUUCUAAAUAAUAAUAGAUUUAUCAUUUUAAAGAGUUGUUUUAGAUAUGUGGAUAGAUCAAAUAAUAGACACCCUUUCCAUGAAAGGAGACUCAUUGAUUAUUGUUAAAAAAAAAAUUCGUUGAUGUUAUUAGAGAACUUGCAAUUUUUUUAUAACACUAAAUUUUUUAAUUUUUUAAGAUUUUUCUAUGAAUAGCAUGAAUUUUUUAUAGCAUUGGUAAUGAGGAUAUUAUGGACCUUUAGAUUUAAAUAUUUUAAUCUUCGCCAUUCAUUCAAUUUAGUGGAUAAAUAACUAAUUACUUAAUUUUUCAAGUUGCAUGUAGUAUAUAAGUUUAUGUAUGUAAUUCUAUUUUUAAUAAUGACAAUUGAUUGUGUUAGCAUUUUGGUCAAAAAGGUGGACCCCCCCAAAAACAAACAAAAAAAAUUUAUGAUAAUAAUUAACAUUGAUAAAUAAAAAUAUUAAUAAUGGGUGUGUUAGCAUUUUGGUCCAAAGCCGAUUUGGCCUUGACAUUAAUUGGAAUUUUGGAUCUAUAAUAUGAUUUUCACCGAAAAGAUAAUUUUGCCGCUAAUUAUUUGGGUAGUCAGAUAAUAAUAACAAAAAAAUGUUAUCUCGAUCUCACCUAUAACUUGAGGAGAUAAUAAUGAUAGUCUUUCAUAAUACUCUACUGUUUAGUUUCUCUUCUUCAUUUUUUUCCCCUUUGAAGUCUUUCAACAAAAAUGGGUGGCAUCAUCUCAACCUUCUUCUCAGCGGACACAAUUCGUCCAAUUUUAUUUUACGUCGGUGGACGAGCAAAGUAUAUAUGGGGUCUUAAAGGUAAUCUCGAUGACUUGCAAACUGAAACGGAGAACUUGAUUGCGAAAAAACUAGAUCUACUGAAUAAGGUUAGGCUUGCCGAACAACAACAGCCUCGUGCCCAACGGACGAGCACGGUGAAACUCUGGUUCGAAAGGGUGGAUCGAAGUGUAACUCUUGUUGAGGGGCUGCAACAAGAAAGAGAUCAAGAGAUUGACAGAUUGUGUCUUGGAGGCUUCUGUUCCAAGGACUUGAUUUCAAGCUACGACUUCGGCAAAAAGGUGGAGAAGUUGAAGGAAGAAGUAAUCAAAUUGAGGGAAAAAGGAGAAGCAAUGAAAGAAGUUUAUGAGGGGUUACCAGAAGGUGCAGCGGUUGCAAUAGCUGUUGACCGAACAAUUGUUGGUCAAGAAUCAAUACUUGACCAAGUUUGGAGAUGCAUCACUGAUCAAAAAAAGAAUAAUGGAAUUAUUGGCUUAUAUGGUAUGGGGGGCAUCGGCAAAACUACUCUGUUAAAACAAGUCAAUAACAAAUUCUGCAGUGAGGAGCAUGAUUUUGAUGUCGUUAUCUGGUCGGUUGUAUCUAGAGAGCCAAACUUGAAGCAGAUUCAAGAGGAUAUUGGGAAAAGGAUAGGCUUCUCAACAGAUUCAUGGCAGAGAAAAAGGUUUGAAGAAAGGGCUUCAGACAUCACCAACACUUUAAAGCAUAAGAAGUUUGUAUUGUUAUUGGAUGAUAUAUGGGAGUCCGAAAUUGAUUUAACCAAAUUGGGCGUCCCUCUUCAGACACUAGAUUCUGGGUCCAGAAUAGUCUUCACAACUCGUUUUGAGGGUACUUGUGGUAAAAUGGGAGCCCAUAAGAAUCGGUACAAAGUGUUUUGUUUGGGAGAUGACGAUGCCUGGAAAUUAUUUGAGGGGGUGGUCGGGAGAUACGUUCUUAACAAGCAUCCCGACAUUCCGAAGUUAGCCGAGGAUGUGGCACGUCAGUGUCAUGGUUUGCCGCUAGCACUCAAAACAGUAGGUAAUGCCAUGGCGAGCAAAGUGUACCCUGAAGAAUGGAAAGAAGCAAUUGAGAUCCUAAGCGCAUCAGCUUCUAAAUUCGAAGAUAUGGAGAAAAAGGUGCUUUCGAGCUUAAAGUUCAGCUAUGAUAGUUUGCCGAAAGAUGAACUUCGAUCUUGUCUCCUGUACUGUUGCUUAUUUCCCGAAGACUCUGAAAUUCUAAAAACCGAGUUGAUAGAGUAUUGGAAAAGUGAAGGAUUUGUGCAUUCUAGCAGCGGGUGGGGGGUUCUUGGUGCUCUCGUUCGUGCAUGCUUAUUGGAGGAAGCAGGUGAUCGUGUAAAAAUGCACGAUAUGAUCCGUGACAUGGCAUUAUGGAUAGCAAAUGAAGUAGAGGAGGAGGAGGAGAACUUUUUGGUUCGUGCAGGAGUUGGAUUAACUGACGCCCCAAAGAUUGAAGAAUGGGAAGGGGUCAAAAGGAUAUCCUUGAUGCAGAACAAAAUUCAAAGUCUACCACAAAUUCCCUCUUGUCCGCGUCUGCAAACAUUGCUUCUGGCGAGUAAUCGUAUUAAGGAGAUCACUGAGAGUUUCUUUCAAUCUUUGCCUUCACUUAGAGUUUUGAGUCUAAGAAGAAAUCGUUCCCUGACUGAACUUCCUGUGGGGAUUUCAAGUCUGGUUUCAUUACACCAUCUUGAUAUGUCUUCUACUAAAGUACGUGGAUUGCCGCAAGAGCUCAAGGCAUUGGUGAAUCUGAGAUAUUUGAACUUGGAGUAUACACGUGGAAUGUCUAGAAUUCCACAGCAAUUAAUAUCAAGCUUUUCAAAGUUACAGGUACUCAGGAUGCUGCGUUGCGGUCGACGUUACCAGCCAAUAGUGGAAGAAGGCAACGUUCUAUCUGCUGAUGCUGAAUCAUUGAUGAAGGAAAUCCACUGUUUGGAACAAUUAAAUCUCAUCACCUUGUCCUUACAUGGUUCGCGUGGUGUUGAAAACUUUCUGAAAUUCCCAAAGCUGCAGAAUAUCACUCAAGCUCUGUCCAUCGAAGACUGCAACAGUCUACCGCUCAAUUUGUUACAUCUAGCAAACAUGGAGCAUCUUGAGGAGUUAUAUAUCGAGGAUAGUAAUUUGGAAGACUGGAAUGUCGACUGCGCGGGAGAGGUACAAAAAAUGCGUAAACUUCACUCGGUUCUCAUACGGAAUUGCUCAAAUGUGAAGGACUUGACGUGGCUUGUUUUUGUUCCAAAUCUCAAGUGGCUGCGAAUAGUUGGUUGUGAUGACAUGGAAGAAAUAAUCAGUGUUGAAAAAUUUGAAAAAUUGAGUGAAGUUUCAGAGAUGAUGGGAGAGCUUAACUUGUUCUCAGAACUCGAACUUCUGGUAAUAAGAAAUGCAAGUAAUUUGGAGCGCAUCUACCGCGAUCCCUUGCCCUUUCCACAGCUGAACCGAAUUAGCAUAUUGAAAUGCCCAAAGUUGAAGAAGCUCCCACUCAAUUCCAGCAGCGCAAAGGGACGUAAAAUUGCCCUUGCGGGACAGAAAGAAUGGUGGGAAGAGCUACAAUGGGAGGAUCAAGCCACUCAAAAUGCUUUCUCUCCCUGUUUCCGACCUAUUGAAGAAUAAAGUGCGAUAAGGCACAAAAGUGUGAAUAAAAUUUCUGCGCGUGCUUAAUGAUUAUCUUGUCUAUCUAUUUCAUUUAAUUUAAAAGUUUUCUACGGAGUUGCAUGUGUGUCACUUGUCAUUCUUCUGUACUGCUGUUUCCUAUUUCCAGUUAAUAAAAUUUUUUUGUUCUUAGAGUUAGAAAUGCUUUACUUGUAAGGGAGAUUCACAAUUUUCCCAUAUUAUGAUUAAUAUAUUCUUUUUACUUUCCUACUAUUUUGCAUAAUUUUUUAAUAUUAUUUUUAUUUCUAAAUAUAUUUUUAUUCAUAUUUAUUAUAAAUUAAAUAAAUGUAUGAAUAGAAAUAAAAAUAAAAAUAAAAAUUAAGUAUUAAAACAAGAAAUAUAUAUUAUGAUUUGAAUAAAAAAUAAAUAUUUUUUUGUACUUAGAAUGCCAUUUGUCGUGAGCACCUGAAUCCCCAAAGGACUCCCAGCUUCAAGUGGCUUUGACUUAGCUUGCUUUAGCUCCAUUGCACAUACUCACUCACAUGGAGGAAAUGAACAGAACAAGAAACCUCAUCAUGCCGAAUAUGAUAGAUAUGACAAGGCAUUACAUUGUAGGAAGCUCCCGAUUUCUCUAAAAAACUCUGCAGGUUCUCCGCAAUCAAGGCGUGCUCCAUCUUUAACAGAUCACUUCUACCAUUAAGAGAAGGAAGAGAGUUCCUCUCGUGUGACAGUAAAUCCUUACUUAACACAGGAUUGGAGCCAACCAAGAAGGGAAGGCAAUUUCGUUAGAUUAAGAAUCGAAUCACCAUCCAAUAUAGUAGCAUUUGAACCAGAACUCUUGUUAAAUUCUUGAAAUCUCCUGCUUUCAUCAGUCUGUAAGAGAAAUGAAGAUGAGAAUAAUAGCCAGAACCGGAUUAAAUUCAAUCUGGUCUUUUGAAGACUUCUAUAACAACUAAGAGAACCCAGUGUACCGCCUACAGAUACUGUCAGGCUUCUAUCAAAUAUCCCAAACACCAAAAACCAACCAAAUUAAGCUAACAAACCUGCAUGAAUAUCUAAAUUUCAAUGCAUAUGAAACAAACUCCAUGUUCAAUCCACCAAAACUAGCAAAUUUCAAACUUUAUCACUCAUCAUUCUCUCUCUGUCAGCUGUACGAGGCUAUGAGAUCAUGUUAUAAUGUUCAUAUUGAUGCUGAAUGUUUUGCCAGCUUGUCUGAAUUCCAUAAGAGAAUGCAAUGUGCACAUUAUUGUGCCUUGCCCACCAGUAGAUUCUAAACCACAAAAUCAUUCUGUGAAGUAGCUGACGUUUCGCACAUUCUUAUCCCUUACCAUCAAUAUUCUUCUCCUCAAGCUUAGAUCAUGGAAAUUUGAGUGAUAACACGAUCUAAACUUUAGGGGCAUAAAGUAACAUAGAAGCAACAUGGGAUGUUUUAAAAUCUAUUAUAAUUUGCUUAGGCCCCUGAAUAAAAUUAAAACUUGAAAUGAAAUAAAGUAGCAAAAUAAAGAUUGGAGGUCGCAUGCUUGAUAUUUGAUGCUGUCAAAAUUAAUUUGCAGUGCUGAAAUUGCUGCUCCAAUAAAUUUUUCAAUGGGAUUUCCAUAUUUACAACAAAUUUUCAGUAUUGAAACAGGAUUAAAAUCAUAAAGUGUCUUUUAAACAGCAGAGGCAACAAGAUCCUACAGAAAAAGAAGGCAAAAAGUAGUUACAAGCUACAGAAACGCAAAUAUUCUACUGGCCAACUCCCACUAAAUUCGAAGCGAUUCUAAAAUCUCAGCUUGUACUACUACAUCAUUCCUUCUAUGUAGCCCAACUGUACUUCACCCAGAAAUCACAUUUCUUCAUCAGAGAUAAUUUUACAUCAUUCCUUAUCAUUAGGCAUAAGGCUCCCAAUGUUCUUGGAGGAAUUAUGAUGAAUAUGAGGGUUUCAAAAAAGAAAAAAAAAUAUUAUGACAACCUCUAGGCGGAGGAAAUCAGUUUUCUAGGAAUUCGUUAGAUUGGUGAAGUUAUAGAACCUUAGCAAUUUGCUGUAGUUUGGAAUGUUUUUGCCUUUCAUUAUAGCAUUUGCAAAGGCUCAAGGAUAUAGAAGAACCUUGGCUACAAAUUCAGGGAAGAUUUCACUUAUAAUGAGAAAUAAUCACCAUUAUUCUAUACAAUGAGAAAACAGUUAUGGAAGAAAUAGAAAGAAUUACCCGAAACGAAGGAUUUGGAAGACAAUGAGACAAAAGUAUAAAGAAGAAGAAAUUGGAGAUAUAAUGGCUGCCAAUUUCUUUGAUGAACCCAUCAAAAACGGCUUGAAAAUUAAAGAAAUUGUCAAAUGCUGUAACGGAGGAAUUGAAACUGUAAAAGAUGCAAGUUAAUUCAUGGGGCUGGCCAUCUUGAUUGAUUGAACACCUACACGUGACAAGUGUGCGAUAAUCGUUAUAUCUUCAAUUUUAGGCAGUUUUUCAUUUCUUUUAUUUUAAUAGUAAAAAAAUACGCCAUUUUAGAUACAAAUGCCCCUGACUAGCCCUUUUGUAAGUUACAUUGUUUGGUGCGAUAGUCCCGCACGUGCUUGACAUUUGCCGAAUAUCUUAUGCGCAUUUUUUUUCCCCUCUAACUCAUUGUGUAUGCUCAUCUUUAUGUGCGUUAUUACCUAAACUUAUAUACCAAUCAAAAUAAAUCAUAAAGUAUCAAACGCUUUUAAAUGAUUUUUAAUAUUAAAGAACUCACUUUAAUGAUGUUUAAUUGGUAGUAGCCCUUUAUAGUCUUUAAACCUUUAGCAGUGCAAAGUCACAAGCUUUGUCCAGAAUCUAAUGGCGUAGAUUAUAGGCGAUGGGUGCCAUCACCUGGGCAACGACGUACAUCGCUUGGGCGACAAGCCAAUUUACUAGGCUCAUCGCAAACAGCCUUCGUCGCCUGGGCGAUGGCCAAAUCCAUCCAAUAAACUUUCAGCUCAUGUUUGAUAGCCUAAAAAAAGUAGUUAUGGUGACCAUCACACAUCACAUUUUACUGACAAGGUGUCUUAAUUUUCAUAGAAAAUUGUUCCUACUGAUUUUCCAAUCCUGGCCUAAUACUUGCAGAUUAUUAAACGAUUAUGGAAUGGCAGCAAACCGGCGCCGCGGAGGGGGGCCGGCCCGGGGUUGUUGUGCUGAUUUGGGAGGGGUAAUAAACCCUCUGAGGCAAUUUAGCAAACAUAUUAUGUGCCAUGAUUUUAGACCAGUAAUUUUGUCAAUAAUAGCUAAUUCGCAAUCCCAUUACAAAUCUAAUAAUCUAUUGCAUACACGCUCUUGAUGACUUGGAUUCUCAAAAAAUAAUCAUUUUACGCCGCUGAGGCGCAGAAAAAUCAAUUGUGUUGUCCCUUUAUACUUUUUCAUUUGUUUUGCCCACGUCCAAAUAAAACAGAUUCUGGUAAAUGUGAUAAGGAAAUGUUUGUUUCAAUUUCCAACCCAUAUCUCAUAAAGAAUUUCUCACUCAAAUAAAUAAAUAUUAUCCGGUAAUGGUAUGACAUUUAUUUUGAAGUAAACACCGGCACGCCAUUUUCUCAUUUUUUUCAUUUUUUGAGGACACCAUUUUCUCAAUUGAAGAAUAUAUUUUGGCCAAAAUUCACAAUGUUCUCCACAUGAUUUAAAGCACACAGAAUUCACACUUGUCUCCACAUGAUUUAAAAGCACAAGGAAUUCUCUUGACCUUAAUUACGAAUCUUUUUAUGUUUAUUGAAAUCCAAUAUUGUUGACUCAUUGGUGUAGCCAGAAAAUCAUAUUAAUAUAGUAGAAUUUAUAAAUAACCAAAGAAAAAAGUUCACGCUCUUACUUUAUUACUUUUAUAAUUUUAUUAGUACAUCUACUAACAUGUCUUCAUAAAAUAUAGUUUUAAGAGGAUAUUUUUAUGGUUGUAGAUAUUUUUAUUUUUCUUCUUAAUAAUAGAUUUAAUUUUCAUCUUUCUAAUGUUAAGUUGCACAUUUGGACUAAAUCAGAUUAAAUUUCAAAUUAGAUGACAGGCCUUAUUUUAAUAGAUUCAAUUGGAUUUUGGACAUCUAAUUAAACAACUGGAUUAAUAAAUUGCAAAUGAAUGAGAUUUAUAUGUGAUUUUAAAAUAAAAUUUGAACUUAAAUCUAUGUAUUCAAUUAAUCCAACAAGACAAAUUUAUAAUUUCUACCACCUAAAUAAAAUAUGUUAUCAGAAACUUUUGGACCAAGUAGGGGCAGUUCAUCACUUCGUCGGCCUGCUACUACUUAUACUCCUUUCUCAUUCAACUUUCACAUCUUUUAUAUUAUAUACAAACUAGAUUUGUCAUGCAAGUAUUUGACAGAAGAAAUCUCAUUGGAAAUCGGACAACUUCAAGAAAUUCAUUUAUUGAAUUUGUCACAUAAUUGCUUGUCGGUUUAUAAACCAAAAAGGUAUUCCAAAUUAAAAGUGGUAGAGAGCCUAGACUUUUCUUACAACAGAUUAAGUGGUAGAAUUCCUCCUUAAUAGACUGAGCUCAAUUUUUUGAUCUGUCUUCAAGACGUCAUACAACAACUUGUCCAACCUGAUACCAAACAAAGAGCAGUUUGCCACAUUCAAUGAAGGCAGUUAUGGAGGAAAUCUGCAUCUUUGUGGUCCAACAGUUAAUAAGAGUUGCAACAAUGCGGAGGAAAUACCAGCAAUAGAAUCCAAUCGAGGAGAAGAUGAAGAUGAAUGUGCAAUUGAUAUGGUGUCAUUCAGUUGGAGUUUCGGUUCAUCAUAUGUCACAUUCAUCAUGGGGUUUUUCGCGAUACUUUGGAUAAACUCAUACUGGCGCAGAAUGUGGAUCUAUUACAAUCAUGUAUUCACUAGGCCAUACGCGUGAUGUGCUUUUCUGCUAAAACUAGUUCACAAAUGUGAUUUCAUUAAAAUUAGUCUAUACACAUCUUUCCCUUGGCUUUUGUUGGCUCCAACUCCGGACUUUUAUUCAUAUCAUUACUUUAUGUAGUUUCCCCAAAAGGCUUGUGAUGAUUAAUGCAGUUUAUAAAUUAUUACUACUACAAUAAUGAUAUAAUAAAUAAUUUUUUUUAAGUUGUAAAAGUGAGAAAUACUAAAGAGAUCUUUAUUACAUCAUUAAUGUUCGAUCAAGAAUUUCCUCAUCCGAGCUUGCAGUCUGUGGAGGAGACUGUAUCAAUGUCGAAAUUCUCCGGACCGGCACUAUUUGCUGUUUCUCCAUUGAAUAGUGCGUCUUACUACAACAAGGUGAAACACAGCCCAGUGUUCUGAUUGGGCCCAAUGCGAAAAACAUAAAACCCAAAUUUUUGUUGACUUUGGGCCUGCUCAAAUACCAUGCCCAAUUGUGUCUAGUUGUAACAAAAGCGGCGAGAUGUUCAUGCCCAAACCCGCAAGAUUGUUUUAAUAUUUAAAAUUUAACAUGAUUCUAGAAUUUUUGUUAAUAAAAAAUAAACCACCAAGAUUCUAGUGAAUAACAAAUGUAUACAUAUACACGUGCUGUGUAGACCGGGCCAAUUCUUGUGGAAUUCUCCAACAACCAUCCUGAUUCUUGAAUUGCCGCGAAAAUUCCGCAAGCGAUGAACCCUCUCUUACGCACCACUCAUUCUCUAUCACAAUGAUCAAAAUAAAGACGAGGACGGAGACUAUUAAUCACUGAGAGUGAUUUUCUCAAUAUUUGUCAAUCACUACUAAGAUUCAUUGUCAAUCAAUAAUAUCAAUUGACACAAAGAUUGAUUGUCUUUUUUUUUUUUUCGAGAAUAUCAGUGCUUGAAUACAUUAUUUGAUAUAUAUAAUUCAAUGUAAACUCAAUCAUACUCUUAAAUUAUUUUUAUAAAUUCUCAAUAUCAGUCUUUGAUUUUAAUUCGAGUUUUGAUUCAAAUUAAUGCAAGGAUACAAAAGGACUCAAGAGCUUCAUAUAUCAAUUCUAUGUUAUUAACUUAUUAUUUCGGUGUACACCACAAAUUUAUGAGUAAUUUAUUAAAAUGUCUAAACAUAUAUGAAAAAUAGUUGAUUAUUGAUUUUCACAAAUUUCAAUAUAUCAAACAUCCUAUCGAGUUAUUAAUUCCAAAGCACAUUAUUUAAGAAUCAAUGCUAGAAUAAAUUAUUUGAUAAUUUCAAACCCAAAUUUACGCUUAAAUUCUUUAAAUUAUCUCAAUCAACUUUUUUUUUUCUUAGCUGACCAUCUAUAUCAGCUAUUGGAAAAAAAAAUAGAAUUGACGACUACUUGUAUGUUGGCCUAAUUUGAAAGUCAAUCAACAUUUAUUUUCCAUGUAAUGUUAAUGAAGCAUUUCCCUCAUUGGUCCAACAUUGCAACAUGUGGAAUUUCAGGCUUACAAUUCCUCAUUAGUCAUUACAGAUACCGAAAUUGAUUGUCAGACAAUAUUGUCAUUUCAAUAUAUGCCACAAUUUUAUGAGUAAUUUACUAAAAUCUUUAAAUAUAUAAAAUUUGCAUGUGUGUAAUAAACCUGUAUUUAUAUAUAAAAUUUGCAUAUUUAAAUUGCACCUCUCCAUGCAUCAUAUAAAAUGUCAUUUCAAUGUGAUCCACACUUUUAUGAGUUAAUAACUAAAUAUUGUCACUAAAUUUUUCCUAAUUGUUGCAUGCAUUAGAUUUUUUUACGAAAAAAAAAACAUGCUACAUUAAGUGUAAAACAAUUGAGGAAAAGAUUAGAGAACACAAUGAGAAAAGAAAUUUUUUAUACAACCUUUUCAUCAAUAAAAAUCAUAUUCAUACUAAUCAAUUCUUCAUUCCUCUUGGUAUUAACAGACUCUCACAUCCUACAAAAUCUAACCCUUAUCAUCCAACUAUCUUUAUCAUUAUUUAACUCAUGAAGAAAAGAGUACUCCAUGAAGCACACAAUACUAAAAAUUCAAAUAAGUCAAAAAUAAAAAUGCAAGAAUAUUUCUAAGGAGGAUGUUGGUUAAAUAAUAAAAAACCCAAACAUAACAAAUCUUAAAUACUUAAUGUUUAUAGACUUUGAAGAAGUCAAAAGACAUUAAACAAAAUGUUGCAUAAUUAAAUAUGGAAUUAUGACAUUAAAAUUAGGCCCUAAUGGCAUUGGUGAGUGAAGAUGAAGGAACCUUCCUUCCUAUAUUAAUUAGUUGAUGUAUUUUAAGUCACUAAAGUUUAGUUGUUGGCUUAAUAAAAUAAAUGAAUGUUUCAAGACUUAUAAUUAAUUAUUAUUAAUGGUUGCAUAUUAUUGAAUUUAAAUAGAAAGAGGAAGAGACAUGUAAUUUUUUGUAAUCUAAUAAUUAUUUUCUAUUUUGUAAUGUAAUUAUUUUUUAAUCUCAACCAAUAUAUUAGAUAAUAGAGAAUAUAAAAAGAUAAGAAAUAAUGAUGUCACAAAUCUUAAAUACUUAAUGUUUACAGAGUUUGAAGAAGCGAAAAUGCACUAAACAUAAGGUUGCAUAAUUAAAUAUAGGAUUAUGGUAUUAAAAUUAGGCUCUAAUGGCAUUGUUGAGGGAAGAUGAAAGAAACUUUCUUCCUAUAUUAAUUAAUUGAUGUAUUUUAAGCCACUAAAGUUUAAUUGUUGGCAUAAUAAAAUAAAUGAAUGUUUUAAGACUUAUAAUUAAUUAUUAUUAAUGGUUACAUAUUAUUGAAUUUAAAUAGAAAGAGGAAGAGACAUGUAAUCUUUUGUAAUCUAAUAUUUAUUUUCUAUUUUUAAUAUUUUGUAAUGUAAUUAUUUUUUAAUCUCAACCAAUAUAUUAGAUAAUAGAGAAUAUAAGAAUAUGAGAAAUAAUGAUGUCACAUCACCUCUUGUAGUCCCAACUCUCUCUCUCUCUCUCUCUCUCUCUCUCUCUCUCUCUCUCUAUAUAUAUAUAUAUAUAUAUAUAUAUAUAUAUAUACAUACAUAUUAUUUUCUAAAAAGUAUUUCUAAUUGUUUAACGUUUUAUUUAUGAGUAUUUUUAAGAGUUUAAAAAAUAUGGGAAACAGAAUCAAUUUUAUCAAAUAAAAAGAAUAUUGGUCAUUUUCUUCAUAAAGAAAGUGUUAAAAUACUUUUGGUAUUUAAGAAGUAACAAUUUUUUUUUUUGUUUCAUAAAAAAAGCAUUCAAAAUUAUAUUAAAUAAAAUUAAAGAUUAACAAAACUGACGUCUGAAUUUCGUGUAAAUUAUAAUAAGUUUAUCUCCAGCAUGAAUGACAUUAUAGCGUGGCUAGCAUCAUCAAAAUUCUGGUAACAUUCCAAGGUUGUCAAACUAAUCAUCUCAAAAUGUCAUUAUACUUGUAGCGUGCGGGCAUCAUCUUUACUUUCAGCAUCAAAAUUCUUUUAUUUAAUACACUUUUAUUUUAUACAAUUUUUAUCAUAUUAAAAUCCUUUGUAAUUUAAGCUCUCUCGGACUUUUAAAAAUGUUAUGCCACCCCUUCUUUAGCAGUAAUAGUAUAUGAUUAUGAUUUAAUUAUUUUAUUUUUUAAUUUAUCAAACACCAAUCACUUAAAUUUAACCUAAGAAAAAAUUAGAACAUCAGAUAAUUUUAAUUGAUUCUUAUUAAGUACUAGAAUUAACUGCUCCCAAUGAUAAUUUAUUAAGCAAACCAUAGUGAUCAUCUUACACUAAAGAACCAACCCAUCUUCAAAACACAAGAAUUUAGUACAAAUAAUUAUCCCAAUAAAGUUUAACGAAAAAGGAAAGAGAUAUUUUUAUUAUUUCUUUUCCUUUCUUUCAUUUCAAUUUCUUGCCUCCUGAGCUCUUCUAAAAGCCAACCAAACCACUUAUUUAAAAAAAAAAAAAAGGAACCAGACAAAGCGCAAGAAAAAAAAUUAAAAAAUUCGCAGUCUACACACAUCCCAGCACCGUAUGCGUCCAAUAAUUCAUCUCCAAUAAUUGCCCCUAUAUGACCACCGGUUUGUACUUGCAUAUAUGUGAAACAGGAUAAAAUCACAAUGUGUCAUUUAAUUAGCAGAGGUAACAAGAUCCUACAGAAAAGGGUUUACAGGAAAAGAAAGGAAAAAAAAUUGUUACAACAUACAGAAACCCAAAUAUUCUACUGGCUAACCCCCAUUAAAAUUCGAAACCAUUCUUAAAUCUCAGCUUAUACUACUUCAUCAUUCCUUCUGUGUACCCCCAACUGAAUUUCUGGCAGAAAUCACAUUUCUUCGUUAGCCUCAACUCAUGCAUCUUUUACUUUUAAUCAAACAUACUUUUUUAUCUGCUGGGCUUUUUAACAAAGAAUAAUUUUCCUUAGAUCUUUUCUAAUAGACAAGAAAGCACAAAGCACAAAUAUCUAGGAAUGUUUUUGCCCUUCAUCAUAGCACUUGCAAAGGCUCCAGGGUAUAGAAGAACCUUGGCUACAAAUUCCUGGGAAGACUUCACUUAUAAUCAACUGGAAGGAUGUCACCUCUACGGGCGUUGUACAUUUUCCACUUCUACGUGGUAUCCUGCAGAAACAAACAAUAAAACACGUGUUAUACAAGUAUUUUUUAAGUAUGAAAUACAUCAAAAGCAUUUAUGAUGCCAUUAAGUUUAGUCAAUACAAUCUCUCAAGGCAGGACAAGAGAUUUGAGAUUCAAACUCCACCUACGUAGGAAAGGAAUGUCAAAAAGAAAUGCGGUUGGGAUAGGUUAUUACGUUUUAUUCUUUUUAUUACUAGAAUUGAAUAAUGCUGCCUUUGACAGUAAAAUAAACGUCAAGUGAUAAUUGAAUUAUAAAAAAGUGAGGUAAAUGGUGAGAAAUAAUCACCAUUAUAAUUUAUAAUAUAAAAUGAGGAAAUAAUUAUGGAAGAAAUGGAAAGAAUUACCUGAAAAGAGGGAUUUGGAAGACAAUGAGACAAAAAUAUAAGGAAGAAGAAAUCGAAGAUAUAAUGCCUGCCCAUUUCUUUGACGAACCUGUAAAAUGUCGUGAUUGAGGGAAUUAAACCGUAUGACGUUUAUGAAAUACUAACUAGGCAACCCAAGAGGGGGGUGAAUUGGGAUUUUAAAAAUUAUCCUAGGCAAACCACACAACAAUUUAAUCUAAUGCCUUAAUAAAUUCGAAAACAAUAAAUUCAAUAAAAGCACAAUAAUAAAUGAGUAAGGGAAGAGAAAGCAAACCCAAGGAUUUUUACGUGGUUCGGCAAUCCCCGCCUACGUCCACGCCUCCAAGCACACCGGGCUUGAGGAUUUUACUAAGCUAGCCUCCCAAGGCUUCAAACGCUUACAAUUGACUUCCAAGGUGUCAAUGGACCUUUACAACAAGAGAUUAUCCCCAAUCUCUUAACCCAAGUGUAUCCCAACACUUACAAUCUUUUAACUUGAUUUUACAAAAAAGAUUACAAAUGAAUCUCUCUCACACAAUGUGUUUGAUCACAAGUGAAAGCUCAAUGUGUGAAUGAAUGAGAUGAAUACAAAGAUUUAAAGCUCAAUGAAAGUUGUAUUCUCAAUAUUUUGCUCAAUGAUGAUCGUUGGAAUUCUUCUUGUUUGAAUUGGAUUGAGAUUAUUUAUAGUUGGAGCUGAAAAACUAGCCGUUAUAGACUGUCUGCUAGAAAACGGUUCGCCGUUAACCAUUAACGGUUAACCGUUUAGGCCGGUCAAAGUUACCGUUGGGCCAAUUUUCAAAUAAACGGUUAGCCGUUUAUUCUUACCCUUUCGCCGUUAAUUUCCAGAGACCUGCAAAACAAAUUUGGUUUAACCGUUCUUAUUAAACGGUUCAAGGUUAACAAUCUGGAAAUAAUCGGUUAACCGUUUUCAGUAAACGGUUCACCGUUAGUUUCCAGAAUCAUCAUUUUAAUAAUACUUUACAGAACAUGCUUUCUGGAAAUUAUCGGUUAGCCGUUUUAAAUAAACGGUUAGCCGUUUGCUACAGUGAUUGCUACAGUGAAAAUAUUUUCUAAAUUUAUAAUUUAACCCCAAAACUUUAUAAAACUUUAUUACGGCCCAAAACGUUAUGAAACUUUGCACAUAGGUCCAAUUUCAGAAUUUCUAAAUAAUACUUUGUUAAUCCCAAAACUUUUUGAAAUUAUGGUAUAGCCCAAAAUGUUAUGAUACUUUUCAAAUAAGUCCUUUACCAAGAUUUCAAGCAAUACUUGUUUAUUUCAAAGUUUUCAAAAUUCUUUCAAUUAAACCAUAAACUUUGAAAAACAACCAAUUUCAUAAAAUCAUUUUUCCAUUAAAUAUGAAACAUUUAUAAUGUGAAAAUAAUGAUUUAUUUAAAAAGAAUAAAAACAAUCAAUUUCAUAAAAUUAUUUUUCCAUUAAAUAUAAAACAUUUAUAAUGUGAAAAUAAUGAUUUAUUUAAAAAGAAUAUUAAAUAAUUUGAGCUUAAAAGAUUAAUCAUUCUUAAUCUUAUUUGUUAUCAUCAAAAUCAAUAUUAUGAAAAUAUAUAUGUUAACAGUUUACUUUGGCGGCCCCCAGUCUUGUCAAUCAGAGAAUAUGUUUUGGCCGAAAUUCACAAUUCUUACCACGUGAUUUAAUUAAAGCACACAGAAUUCGUAAUUUUCUCCAGACAAUUUAAAUUAAACCCGCACUCUUUAUGGACUCCACUUUUAAGAAGGAUAUUGCCCACCGAGCAAACUAACCAAAACUCUUUUCCCUUCUGCGUUCAUUCUCCAACUCGUUGUCACUUUGUUUUGCUCUUCCUCUCUAUAUGAUUUUUAAGAACUAUUAAAUGUUUGUUUGUUUCUUAAAAAAAAUGUUUGUUUUUUUUUGUAUUAGAUGAUUAUAAAUAUUUAUUUAAUUUUAUAUUUUUUUAAAUUUUUUAUUAUUGUUUCAUUAUUUUUUAGUAAAUUUUUAAAAAUUAAAUAAAUUAUUUUUAUUUCUGUUAAUAAAAAUUUAAACUUUAAAUUUUUGAGGGAUGAGAUUUAUUUUUUUUAAAUAUUAAAAUACUUAAAAUAUCUUUUAUUUAUGUAAUAAUUUUAUUUUAUUUUUUUGUUAAAUAAUUUUAAAAAAAAUUAUUUAUUAAAAUAAUUUUAUAAUUUUUAAUAAAAACUCUUAUUAUCAAUUAAAUAACUAAAAUUAUUUUCAUAAAAACUUUUAUAAUAAAAAUCCUACCACACCGCAGAGUCUGCACUUACCUGCGCGUACUGUUUAAAACCCCUCACCGGCUCUGCUCUCGCCACCAAUAUUAAGAAAGAUACUUUGUUGUGGUGGCAUUUUGGUAAAAAAUAUGGGCCCCCAAAAUAAUCAUAAUAAUUAAGGAUUUAGCUAUGUGGCAACGGGUACACCAUACACUUUUUUUUUUUUUUUUUUUGUGCUGCCACAGUUAGAUCCAACACAAAAGUAGUAUUAAGAGCAAGAUGUGUUUGUUUGUUUAUUAACAAUGCAAUCCCUAAUAUUUGUCAAAAAUUUUAAAAAGUUAAAGUUUAUAAAAUUUUGUGCCAAUAUUUUUUUCCCAAAUUCUCUUAGCACAAUUAAUUGUGUUAUGGUAUCCACUUUUGCAGGUUAUAAUCAAGAGAUCAGACAUGAUAGAUACAUAAAAAAUAAUAUAAAAUAAAAAAAUUUUGAAUUUUUGUUAAAGCUCUCAUUUCUAAUAAUUUGUUAAAAUAUUCUUUUACCUAAGAAAACAAACUCAUUGACAUAAUAAAAAGAGUUUUACUGAUAAAAUAAUAAUUAUUCAAUUAUUAGAAGUGCUACAGUUAGAUUUUUUUAAGUUGAAAAUGUAGAGAAGCAUGGAGGAGAAGAGGAGAAGAAGACACAUAAUAAAACAUAAAAAUUUUCAAUUUAUUUAUACCUGAAUUCCAUUGUAUGAUGAAUAGAUUGUAGGUACAAAAAUAUAUUUAUGUGAUUUUCUUUUAUAUAAAAAGUUCAAUUCAUUAUUGCUUAUAUGAUAUAGAGCAAAUUAAUCUUAAGGUAAUGAGAAAGUAGCUUCAAUGAGAAUGCCAAGCUUCUCUUAUUGAUUGUAAUUGAUUGAUUACAUAUUUAAUUAAAAAAAUUCAAAAGGACGUAGAGGUGAGGGUUUUGAAGAAAGAGAAAAAAGAAAUUACUUCAAUAAUUUGUAAAUACAGAAGAGAUUAGGGGGUCAAAAAAUACAAAAAGUAGGGUAUGGUGGACCCAUUGUACCGUAGCUCAACUCAAGCCAAUAAAUUAAUUGUUUUAUCCUAUAAAUAAAAAUUAAUGUUGUGUAUUUGCCUAUAACUUGAGGAGGUAAUAAAAGUCUUUCGUUAUACUCUACUGUUAGUUUCUCGCCUUUUAUUCCUCUGAAAUCUUUCAACAAAAAUGGGUGGCGUCAUCUCAACCUUCUUAUCAGCGGACACAAUUCGUCCAAUUUUAUCUUACGUUGGUGGAGAAGCUAAGUAUAUAUGGGGUCUAAAAGAUAAUCUUGAUGACUUGCAGACUCAGAAGGAGAAGUUGAUUGAGAAAAAAGAAGAUAUGCUGAAUGAGGUUGAGCUUGCUGAACAACGACCCCGAACCAGACGGACGAGAUCGGUGCAACGCUGGUUUGAAAGAGUGGAUCGAAGGGUAACUGAAGUUGAGAGGCUGCAACAAGAAAGAGAUCAAGAGAUUGACAGAUUGUGCCUUGGAGGCUUCUGUUCCAAGAACUUGAUCUCAAGCUACAGCUUCGGGAAAAGAGUGGAGAAGAUGAAGAACGAAGUGAUCGAAUUGAAGAAAGGAGGAGAAGCAAUCAAUCCACUUUAUGAGGAGGUACCAGAAGGUGCAGCGGUUGCAAUAGCUGUUGACCGAACAAUUGUCGGUCAAGAAUCAAUACUAGACCGAGUUUGGAGAUGCAUCACCGAUCAAGAACAGAAUAAGGGAAUUAUUGGCUUAUAUGGUAUGGGGGGCGUCGGCAAAACUACUCUGUUAAAGCAAGUCAAUAACAAAUUCUGCAGUGAUGAACAGCAUCAUUUUGGUGUCGUUAUCUGGUCGGUUGUGUCGAGAGAGCCAAACUUGAAGCAGAUUCAAGUGGAUAUUGGAAAAAGGAUAGGCUUCUCAACAGAUUCAUGGCAGAGAAAAAGUUUUGAAGAAAGGGCUUCAGACAUCACCAACGCUUUAAAGCAUAAGAAGUUUGUAUUGUUAUUGGAUGAUAUAUGGGAGUCCAAAAUUGAUUUAACCGAAUUGGGCGUCCCUCUUCAAAGAUUAGAUUCUGGGUCCAGAAUAGUUUUCACAACUCGUUUUCGUGGUACUUGUGGUGAAAUGGGAGCUGACGAGCGGUUCGAAGUGUCCUGUUUGGGAGAUGACGAUGCCUGGAAAUUUUUUGAGGGGGUGGUUGGGAGAUACGUUCUCGACAAGCAUCCCGACAUUCCGGAGCUAGCCAAAGCUAUGGCAAGGCAGUGUCAUGGUUUGCCGCUAGCACUCAAAACAGUAGGUAAUGCCAUGGCGAGCAAAGAGUACCCUCAAGAAUGGAGUCACGCCAUUGAGAUCAUAAGCAGAUCAGCUUCUAAAUUCAAAGAUAUGGAAAAACAGGUGCUUUCGCGUUUGAAGUUCAGCUAUGAUAGUUUGCCCACUGACGAACUUCGUUCUUGUCUCUUGUACUGUUGUUUAUUUCCGGAAGACUCUGAAAUUCCAAAAACCGACUUGAUGGAGUAUUGGAAAAGUGAAGGAUUUGUGGAUUCUAGCAGCGGGUGGGGGGUUCUUGGUGCUCUCCUUCGUGCAUGCUUAUUGGAGGAAGCAGGCUUAGUGGACGAAGGAGGUAAUCGUGUAAAAAUGCACGAUAUGAUUCGUGACAUGGCAUUAUGGAUAGCAAAUGAAAUAGAGGAGGAGGAGGAGAACUUCUUGAUUCGUGCAGGAGUUGGAUUAACUGACGCCCCAAAGAUUGAAGAAUGGGAAGGGGUCAAAAGGAUAUCCUUGAUGGAGAACAAAAUUCAAAGUCUACCACAAAUUCCCACUUGUCCGCGUCUCCAGACUUUGCUUCUAAAUCGAAAUCAUAUUGCGAAGAUCACUGACAGUUUCUUUCAAUCUUUGCCUUCGCUUAGAGUUUUGAAUCUAAGUGGAAAUCAUUACCUAACUGAACUACCUGUAGGAAUUUCAAGUUUGGUUUCAUUACACCAUCUUGAUCUGUCUUAUACUCCCCUAACUGAACUUCCUGUAGGGAUUUCAAGUUUGGUUUCAUUACACCAUCUUGAUCUGUCUUCUACUGAAGUACGUGGGUUGCCGCAAGAGCUCAAGGCAUUGGUGAAUCUGAGAUAUUUGAACUUGGAGUAUACACGUAAAAUGUCUAGAAUUCCAGAGCAAUUGAUAUCAAGCUUUCCAAAGUUACAGGUGCUCAGGAUGCUGAGUUGCGGUUCUGAGAUAUUUCCAAUAGUGGAAGAAGGCAACGUUCUAUCCGAUGGUGCUGAACCAUUGAUUAAGGAAAUCCACUGUUUGGAACAAUUAAAUCUCAUCACCUUGUCCUUACGUGGUACGCGUGGUGUUGAAAACUUUUUGAAAUUCCCAAAGCUGCAGAAUAUCACUCAAGCUCUGUCCAUCGAACACUGCAACAGUCUACCGCUCAAUUUGUUGCAUCUAUCAAACAUGGAGCAUCUUGAGAAGCUACACAUCGAGGAAAGUAAUUUGGAAGACUGGAAUGUCGACUGCGCAGGCGAGGUACAAAAAAUGCGUAAACUUCACUUUGUUACAAUAUACGAAUGCUCAAAUGUGAAGGACUUUACGUGGCUUGUUUUUGUUCCAAAUCUCAAGUGGCUACGAAUAUGUUAUUGUGAUGACAUGGAAGAAAUAAUCAGUGUUGAAAAAUUGAGUGAAGUUUCGGAGAUGAUGGGAGAGCUUAACUUGUUCUCAGAACUCGAACUUCUGGUAAUAAGAAAUGCAAGUAAUUUGGAGCGCAUCUACCGCGUUCCCUUGCCCUUUCCACAGCUGAAGGUAAUUGACAUAUCGGAAUGCCCAAAGUUGAAGAAGCUCCCGCUCAAUUCCAGCAGCGCAAAGGGACGUAAAAUUGUCAUUUACGGGGAGAAAGAAUGGUGGGAAGAGCUACAAUGGGAGGAUCAAGCCACUCAAAAUGCUUUCUCUCCCUGUUUCCUACCUGAUGAAUAAUAAAGUGCAAUAAGGCGCAAAAGUGUGAAUAAAAUUUCUGCGUGUGCUUAAUGUUAGGCACUAUUAUUCAGGCUUAAAUAAUAACAAUAAAAUACUACACCGUGUCUGCUUUCUUUUACUUUUCUUGGUUCUGUUGUAAAAUUCAGUUCUAUUUGAAGGAAAUUAUUAACAUCAAAACUAAAUACUUCGUGAGCAUCUACUGACAACAUACUCCAGAUGACACCAUAACCAUAUCAUAUAAAGCAAGAAAUGUGAAAUAAAUACAAAAUGAAUCACAGGAGGAAAUCACCACACUCUGCGGUCUCUCCUGCUAAACCCUGCAGUUAGAAUGCCAUUUGUCGUGAGCACCUGAAUCCCCAAAGGACUCCCAGCUUCAAGUGGCUUUGACUUAGCUUGCUUUAGCUCCAUUGCACAUACUCACUCACAUGGAGGAAAUGAACAGAACAAGAAACCUCAUCAAGCCGAAUAUGAUAGAUAUGACAAGGCAUUACACUGUAGGAAGCUCCCGAUUUCUCUAAAAAACUUUGCAGGUUCUCCGCAAUCAAGGCGUGCUCCAUCUUUAACAGAUCACUUCUACCAUUAAGAGAAGGGAGAGAGUUCCUCUCGUGUGACAGUAAAUCCUUACUUAACACAGGAUUGGAGCCAACCAAGAAGGGAAGGCAAUUUCGUUAGAUUAAGAACCGAAUCACCAUCCAAAAUAGUAGCAUUUGAACCAGAACUCUUGUUAAAUUCUUGAAAUCUCCUGCUUUCAUCAGUCUGUAAGAGAAAUGAAGAUGAGAAUAAUAGCCAGAACCGGAUUAAAUUCAAUCUGGUCUUUUGAAGACUUCUAUAACAACUAAGAGAACCCAGUGUACCGCCUACAGAUACUGUCAGGCUUCUAUCAAAUAUCCCAAACACCAAAAACAAACCAAAUUAAGCUAACAAACCUGCAUGAAUAUCUAAAUUUCAAUGCACAUGAAACAAACUCCGUCUUCAAUCCACCAAAACUAGCAAAUUUCAAACUUUAUCCCUCAUCACUCUCUCUCUGUCAGCUGUAUGAGGCUACGAGAUCAUGUUAUAAUGUUCAUAUUGAUGCUGAAUGUUUUGCCAGCUUGUCUGAAUUCCAUAAGAGAAUGCAAUUUGCACAUUAUUGUGCCUUGCCCACCAUUAGAUUCUAAACCACAAAAUCAUUGUGUGAGUAGCUGACGUUUCGCACAUUCUUAUCCCUUAUCAUCAAUAUUCUUCUCCUCAAGCUUAGAUCAUGGAAAUUUGAGUGACAAACAUGAUAACAUGGUAACACCAUCUAAACUUUAGGGGCAUAAAGUAACAUAGAAGCAACAUGGGAUGUUUUAAAAUCUAUUAUAAUUUGCUUAGGCCCCUGAAUAAAAUUAAAACUUGAAAUGAAAUAAAGUAGCAAAAUAAAGAUUGGAGGUCGCAUGCUUGAUAUUUGAUGCUGUCAAAAUUAAUUUGCAGUGCUGAAAUUGCUGCUCCAAUAAAUUUUUCAAUGGGAUUUCUAUAUUUACAACAAAUUUUCAGUAUUGAAACAGGAUUAAAAUCAUAAAGUGUCUUUUAAACAGCAGAGGCAACAAGAUCCUACAGAAAAAGAAGGCAAAAAGUAGUUACAAGCUACAGAAACGCAAAUAUUCUACUGGCCCACUCCCACUAAAUUCGAAGCGAUUCUAAAAUCUCAGCUUGUACUACUACAUCAUUCCUUCUAUGUGGCCCAACUGUACUUCACCCAGAAAUCACAUUUCUUCAUCAGAGAUAAUUUUACUUCUAAUCAGAGAUUAUUUUUUAUAUGCAUGGCUUUACAGUAAUGAAUAAUUUUCCUUAAAUCUUUUCUAACAGACAAGAAAGCACAAAGCACAAAAAUUCAUAUAAACAACUUUUCUCGAAGCUUUUUCAUAAGAAAACCUGAACAUGAUUGCUUCUCUUAGAAGGCCCCCUAGCUUCCUGCAAGAACCUGGUGUUCCAAAAAAAAAUGAUUAUAAUUAGGCAUAAGGUCCUAAUGUUCUUGCAGGAAUUAUGAUGAAUAUCAGGGUUUCAAAAAAAAAAAAAUUAAGACAACGAUUACGGAUUUAAAGCACACAGAAUUUACACUUUUCUCCAUGUGAUUUAAAAGCACACAGAAUUCUCCUGACCUUAAUUGAAAUCCAAUAUUGUAGACUCAUUGUUGUAGCUAGAAAAUCAUAUUAAUAGAGUAAAAUUUAUAAAUAAUCAAAGAAAAGAGUUCACGCUCUUACUUCAUUACUUUUAUAAUCUUAUUAGUAUAUCAACUUACAUGUCUUCAGAAAAUACAGUUUUAAGGGGAUAUUUUUAUGGUUGUAGAUAUUUUUAUUUUUCUUCUUAAUAAUAGAUUUAAUUUUCAUAUUUCUAAUGUUAAGUUGCAGAUUUGGACUAAAUCAGAUUAAAUUUCAAAUUAGAUCACCGACCUUAUUUUAAUAGGUUCAAUUGGAUUUUGGACAUCUAAUUAAACAACUGGAAUAAUAAAUUGCAAAUGAAUGAGAUUUAUAUGUGAUUUUAAAAUAAAAUUUGAACUCAAAUCUAUGUAUUCAAUUAAUCCAACAGGACAAAUUUAUAAUUUCCACCAACUAAAUAAAAUAUGUUAUCAGAAACUUUUGGAUCAAGUCGGGGCAGUGUAUUACUUCGUGGGUCUGCUACUACUUAUAGUCCAUUCUCAUUUCAACUUUCACAUCUUUUAUAUUAUGUACAAAUUGGAUUAUAUUCUAAAAAAGUGUUUCUAAUUGUUUAACGUUUUAUUUCUGGGUAUAUUUAGAGAUUAAAAAAUAUGGGAAACAUAAUCAAUUUUAUCAAAUAAAAAGGAGUAUUGUUCAUUUUUUCAUAAACAAUGUGUUAAAAUACUUUUGGUUUUUAAGAAGUAACAAUUUUUAUUUUCAUAAAAUAGCAUUCAAAAUUAUAUUAAAUAAAAUUAAAGAUUAACAAAACUGACAUCUGAAUUUCGUGUAAAUUAUAAUAAGUUUGUCUCCAGCAUGAGUAACAUUAAAGCUUGGCUAGCAUCAUCAUAUUUUAUCUCCAGCAUCAAAAUUCUGAUAACAUCAACAUCAUAAUUCCAAGGUUGUCAAACUAAUCAUCUCAAAAUGUCAUUAUACUUAUAGCGUGCUGGCAUUAUCUUUACUUUCUGCAUCAAAAUUCUUUUAUUUAAUACACUUUUAUUUCAUACAAUUUUUUAUCAAAUUAAGAUCCUUUGUGAUCUAAACUCUCUUGAACUUUUAAAAAUCUUAUGCCACCUCUUCUUUAGUAAUAGUAAUAGUAAUAAUAUGAUUAUGAUUUAAUUAUUUUAUUUUUUAAUUUAUCAAACACCAAUCACUUAAAUUUAACUCAAGAAAAAAUUAGAACAUCAAAGAAUUUUAAUUGCUUCUUAUUAAGUACUAGAAUUAACUUCUCCCAAUGAUAAUUUAUUAAGCAGACCAUAAUGAUCAUCUUACGCUAAAGAACCAACCCAUCUUCAAAACACAAGAAUUUAGUACAAAUAAUUAUCCCAAUAAAGUUUAACGAAAAAGCAAAGAGAUAUUUUUAUUAUUUCUUUUACUUUCCUAGUGGCUCUGCUACUACCUAUAGGCUAUAGUCCAUUCUUAUUCAACAUUCAGAUCUUUUAUAUUAUAUGCAAAUUAAAAUAUAUUCUAAAAAGUGUAUCCAACUGGUUAACAUAUUAUUUCUAGAUAAUAAUCAAUUUUAUCAAAUAAAAAAGAGUUUUUGGUCAUUCAUUUGGCUCCGUUGCCACUUGUACGUUACAAAAGCUUUUGUCUAUGCUGACUCAGUUACUGUAAAAUGUCGUUCAGCCCCUUAUACUCUAUGUUAUUUAUAAUUUAUUUAUAAGAAUUAUGAAAAUUUCUACUUACCUACACUAUCAAAAUUCAAUUUAUCUCCUCACAAUCUUUUUCAUUUACUAUUUUUUUCUAAGUAUUAAAAGAGUUCUAUUUACAACCACGACAUAUUAAUCAUCAUAACACACAAAUAUUAAUAAAAAGAUAAAAAUAUCCUUAAAUUAAUACUAAAAAUGCUUUCCUCUCUUCUUUAUAAUAUCAUAUUAUAAUAAUUAAUACUUUCAUGAUAAAAGAAUUAAAAAAAUAAAAAUAAAUUCCCUUUGAAUCCAUCCCUCUCUAAUAUCAUUUUCUCUUCAUUAGGAACAUUUAUCGACAAUUGAAGCCACCAUCAGACUCAUCACACAGAGAGAGUGAGAGAGGGGAAGAAGAAACAGAGAAAAAAUAUAUGAGACAUUUACAAUUUUAUAGUGUGUUUAUUCAACGGGAUUUAUAUAUAGUUGCUAAGGGGUUUCAUCAGACACAAGGAGUUGAUUACACUGAAACUUUUAGUCUAGUAGUUAAGGCUUCAACAGUCAAAGUUAUUCUUAGCCUAACAGUACUUAACAAGUGAAUAAGCAGACAAGUGGAUGUUAAUAAUGUCUUCCCCUAGCAGUACUUAACAAAUGAAUAAUCAGACAAGUGGAUGUUAACAAUGCCUUCCUUAAUGGCAUUUCAGUUGAAGAAGUUUACAUGGCACAACCUGAGGGGUUUGUGGAUCCUACUAAACCCCAACACAUCUGCAAAUUAAAAAGGACUAUAUAUGGCUUGAAGCAAGCUCCCAGGCUUGGUUUGACAAAUUCAAAGCUGCAAUGAUUACUCAAUGGCAUUUUCAACACUCAAAAUCAGAUAAGUCUCUCUUCUAUAAAUGGAUCAAUGGUCAUGUAAUUCUAGUUCUGGUUUAUGUUGAUGAUAUCAUACUCACUGGUUCAAAUUCUUACUUAAUUCAGCCAGUCAUUCAAGACAUGCAUCACACCUUUGCUUUAAAAGACUUGGGAGCUCUUAACUAUUCUCUAAGAAUUGAAGUGGUUAAAUUAGCAAAUGGCAUUUAUCUGUCUCAAGCAAAAUAUAUUGCUAAUAUAUUGGCAAACAUGAUAUGGUUCACUGCAGUCCAUUACAUAUUCCUAUGUCUACCAGUCACUACCUCACAAAAGAUUCAAGUGACAUUAUUGCAAAUGUGUCUCAGUACAGAAGUAUCUUAGGUGCAUUGCAAUAUGUUACUCUUACAAGGCUUGACAUAACAUAUAUAGUUAAUAAACUAAGUUAGUUUUUAUUUAGUCCUCGAACACAACAUUGGGAGGCUCGCAAAAGGUUGCUAAGGUACUUAAAAAGAAUUUUACAUCUUCGAUUGCAUUAUUACACAAAUGGAGCUAUGCAGAUACAUUAUUUCAUAGAUUCUAAUUGGGCAUGUGAUAGGGAUGACAGGAAAUCACUUGCUAGUUUUGCAGUCUAUCUAGGUCCCAAUUUAGUCUCAUGGUCAUCCAAGAAACAAGCAGUGGUAUCAAGGUCAAGUAUAGAAGCAGAAUAUAGAGCAUUAGCUCAUGCUACUUCAGAGGUCAUGUGGAUACAAUCUCUUCUUAGUGAGUUGCAAAUUAAACUUAGCACCACUCCCAUAAUAUGGUGUGAUAAUCAAGAAGCUAUUGCCUUAGCAUACAAUCCAUUUUAUUAUGCCAAAACCAAACAUGUUGAGCUAGAUAUACACUUCAUUCGAGACAAAGUUGUAGCUAAGAGCAUUGAGGUUAGUUAUGUGCCCAGUGAAGGUCAACCAACUGAUGUAUUAACCAAAGCUCUCACUUUUAAGCAGUUUCAUUGCUUGUGAAGCAAGCUGAAUGUCUAUCCUGGACAUUUUAGCUUGAGGAGGGAUGUUAGUGAUAUUGAAUUUCAAGCAAAGCAGAGCACAAAAUCAUUAUAUGACUGACCACAACUGAUUCACUCAUUAAGCUAACUUGGCAAGUUAGUUAUACAGCUCACCUCACAUGUAUCAAAUUUCGCGUGUGUAUAACAGAUUGUAUGAAUCAUUUAGCUUGCUAUAUAAAUAUGUAAUGUGUACUCAGUUUUCAAUUAGUUAAUUACAAAGGAAUCUUAUAUUUGCUUCUAUACAAAUUCUCUUUACUUUUCUUUCAUUUUCUUGCCAAACAACACUUUCUUUAGAAUUCUUUCAUGAAAGGCAAUGAGACAAAAAUGUAAAGAAGAAGAAAUUGAAGAUAGGGUAGGGCUAUUGGCUCUCUAAAAUUUAUUUUGGACAUUGAUGUGAUCUUUAAAAAAAAAUUACAUAAUUUUAUUCUUAGGUUAUGUUUAUCUCUUUGAGUUGUUAUCAUAGUUCAUUUUGAUUAAAUAAAAGUAGUUGUUGUAUUAACAUAAUUCUAAUGAACAUAGGUUUUAUUGUGCUUUUAAUCUUUAGGUCCAACUUCUGUAAGAUAGUAUUUAAACCAGCAUCAAUGUCAAUAAUAGCAGGCUGAAAUGUUUCUUUUGGAGACUGAAUAGUUGUAUUGGGAGAUAUGUCCCUCAAAGUACCAAAAACAUAUUUAUUAAAGCUUAGUUUCCUUGAAUUUGCCCAUUUAUCACUUGUUCUUUUUAUUUUGUUUGAUUUCCUGUUGUAAUAAUUUGUGUCUGUAAGACUAUAACAGACACUCACAUUUUAAUAGUUCUUUAUAUCACUAAAUUAACCUUAAUGUAAAAUUAACCGUAAUGUAAUUUACUAUUAAGGACAAUUUAAUAAAAUAUAGUUCAAUAAAUUUUUAUCCAACAUCUUAUUUUAUCUACAAUAAACUAGAUAAACAAUGAAGAAAUGAAUAAAAGUUCACGUGAAAACGAUGUCUAUACUUAUGGGCUAAACCUUUUUUUUUCAGUUUUUUUGUUAAUAGAAUUGUUAGGAAAACAUCAUGUAACACGUUCCAUCUUUUGUAACAAAAGGAAUUAAAAACAGAGGUGGAGGAAGAACAAUAAAUUGCACCACUACAACAUAUGAAAAACGAAAGAAAUCAAAGGAUAAAAUCUGUUUCAAAUUUGUUUUCUGAUCUUCACUCAAUCUAAUCUGCAUGCUUUCAUGGAUUUGAAAAACAAAAUUGAAUUGCGACAUUAAAGAGAAGAACAAACAUAUGUCAAACCAUAUUAUGAAAGCAAAAUAAAAGUUGAUAAAAAAUGAAAAAAAGUUCAAACAUUUUGUUUGUGAUGAUGAAUAUUUUAUUAGAUGUAAAGAGGAAAUAAGAUAAUUAAAGAAAUGGGUAAUGAGAACAAUAAAGGAAGUCGAAAAAUAUUUCAAAUACAAAUUAAUAUUUUGAAAUUAUUAAUUGAGUGUUCAAAAUAAAUUUUAGAAUGUAAGAAGUGCAUCGCUGCCCAUUUCUUUGAUGAACCCAGUAGAAACAGCUUUAAAAUUAUAGAAACUGUAAAACGCUGUAAAAGUGAAAACUUUAAAAAGCUUGCUCUAGUAUUUAAACCUUUAAUAGUGCAAAGUCACAAGUCUUGCAGCUAGUUGAUAUAUCCCCAAGCUAAAAACAUGUGUUGUAUACUCAUUUUUUAUAGUGAUACUAGAACUAUUAUUAUCUUAUGUCUAUGUACGUAUGUUUACAAUUUAUUUCAUAAAUUUACUGAGACAAGUGCCGAAAUUUAUGGCGAAGUACGUCCAAUCUAUUGUCACUAAGGCCCUAUUUGGUAUUUAGAUAAUGUAGUUUUUGUGAAAAAAAAUAAUGUAAUUAAGAAAUAAAAAUUAAUAAUAUAUAGUAAUAUGACUUGUAAAUAAUAAUUUGAAAAAAAUAAUAAAGAAUUAUAAGUUUUUUCAAAAUAAAAGUGGUGGAUCAAAUUAAUUUAGCUUUCAAGUCAUAGCAAGUAGUGUUUAUCAAAUAUAAAAAGUUAUAAUUAUCCAAUCUCAAUCAGAACCUGAGCAUUUUUAGCAAAAACAAUACUUUUAUUCUAUAUUUUACAAAUAUCUUCACCAUUAUUCAGAGCACCAACCCUUAACUUUUUUCGAUUAUGUUUGGUAUAACUUUUUAAGCAGAACUUUUACUAAAAAAAAUAAUUGUUUGAUUGUCAAUGAGAUUUUUUAUUAAAAUUUCUAGAAUUACUUUAAUAGGCAAAUUUCUUAAAGUUAUGUUAUGAAAUGAAUAAAAUAAAAUUGUGAAAUAUAUAAAGCAUAUUUUAGACAAUAUAAUAUUUUUAAAAAAUUUUAACCUCUACUCCACAAAAUUUAAAAUUUAAACUUUUAUUAGUACAAAUAAAAUAAUUUAUUUAAUUUUUUAAAAAUUUUACUCAAAUUAUAAUUAAAUAAUAUUAAGUCUUAAAAAAAAGUUAUAAGAUUAAAUAAAUAUAUUUGACUGAACAUACACUAACUUGAACUCUUGAAAAAUAAAUAUUUUGCGCCACAUAAGUAGGGUCCAAUUAUGUUGCAACUGAUGUAUUAUACCAGAGUUCCUCUUUUUUUCCCCGUAUUAUUGGAUAAUUGAUGCAAAUUAAGCAAAGUUGUUGGGUGCUUCUCGUUCAAUCUAGCAGUUGAAAUUAAUUAUUGGAUAAUUGAUGCAGCGACUAGCAACCGUUGCAGCCGGUUGUAUAUUAAUUUAAUAGCAGUUCAGCGAGCGUGGGUUUCGAAAAUUUGUUAGUGCUGAUUAGAGUCUCACUGAUUUCAUCUGAAAAUUGAUCUCGAGACAUCAAUUAAGACAUAAAAUUAGAAUUAGGGGAUCGCAGUUUUUUUGGGAAUUAAAAUUUCCCUAUGAUUCAUACAUGAAUAUGGCCUCUCACUUGUAGGGAAUUGACGGUGAAAUUAUAAUCGUCACAGCAGAAUGCAAUCAAAAGUUACGGUGCUAAAAGUUUAGGCAUAUAUCAAAUUAGAGUGAAUCUCGCAUCACUUUGAUUUGGUCUUAUGCCGAUCGAAUCACCUGAUGCAGUAUGUAAUUCCUUAUUAAAACUUGCAAUUUUUUAUUUUGAAAAGAUUUAAAAUUUGUAAUUUCAUUACAGAAAUGAGGCGGGGGCUCACAAACAGAAAGCUAGCGAUUUAAAGAGCCACAGUCAAGCUUUAGAAGCCGAUGGUAACAUAGUUAGAACAAUAGAAUCUGAUAGCGUUAGGGAUUCAUAAGCUAUUUGUAAGUAUUUGUACUCCCUGACUAAAUAAUUUGGGAAUAUAAGGAUGCAAUAAGAGUUGAGUGGUCUUUAUUCCAAUAGCAUUAUUUUUUUCGAGCUUCAUCCGUGCUCUAUUCAAUCUUUAUGUGCCGCUUGUGUUAUGUUCCUGCAUAUCUAAUUACCUUUAGAUGCUAGUUGAUAUUUGACAAUUUUGCAGGUUAAGGAUAUUAGAUGGGAUGCAGAGCUUGGCAGUCAGAACAUGGAAUCACGGUUGGUUGAAUACUUUGUAGAUGAGUUUAAUAAACAAGUUGGUAAUUGGGUGAAGUGAGGAAGUCUCCCAAGGCCAUGGCUGAACUGAAGAAGCAAGUUAAAUAUACAAGAGCAAUUCUUUGUGCGAACACAAUGGAACCAAUAUCAGUUAUAUCUUUCCACGAUGAUAGGGACUUCAGAUAAGUGGAGUUAAAGUUCAGAUUUUACUGUUUGAGGUGCGUUUGAAGUUUAUUAACAAAAUUAAUGUGUUCUUUAAAUGAGUGAGGAACUGUAGAACAUGACAAGUAGAGUUUAUUGUGUGAGGGAUGCAUAUUCUCUUACAAGUGCUUUGUUCUUUAAUAUAGCACUAUAAGACAUCUUCUGAUGAAAAAUAGAGUCAAUAAAAUUACUCCAGACUGACUGGGCCGUUACGUUUUGGAUUCCAAUUCUUGCAUGAGAUUUCUUUUUCCUUUUUUUCUUUUUUCAAAUUUACUAGUGGUACUUUCAUUUGGUAAACUAUUCUAUACAUACAUAUAUAUAUAUAUAUAUAUAUAUAUAUAUAUACUCUAAUCAAUUAUAUUGGCUUAUUCUCCUUUUAUGUUGAUUCACGCUGCUGGUAUAGAUAAAAUUUAUUUAUUAGUUUUGGUGAAAAAUUUGUUUUGUUGCACACGGAUAGUAAACCCAAAUACAUUCAUAUGUGUUAGAGCAGCUCAUUAUGCUGAACAGAAGAAGGUGAAGACUAAGAUGAAGAAAAUACAGAGCAAGUUACAGGGCAAGUGUGUCAGCAGUGCCAGCUCAGCUAACAGCUCAGCAGAUUAGUUAAAGAUGGUUGUAAGCAUGAUGUGCAUUGUACUGAAGUUAGUUAGCUUUGAUUACAGUUAGUCUUUGGAUUAGUUAAAUGAAGUUACCGUGAUUGCAUUGUAUAUAAACAUGUGAUGCUUUGUAAAAAGGUUAAGCAAAAUAAAAAUCAAAGUUUGUUAAGGAAAUAUCUCCAGAAUUAUCAAUUCAUUUUCUUAGUAACCAAACAACUUUAUUUUCAUUUUCUUUCAUGGUAUCAGAGCCACUCUAAUGGCUAGUUCCAGUAGCACAACAUCAAAUCCAAAUCAAAUGAAUAUAAAUCAAUCAUCACAUAUCUCCUUUUCGUUCAGCACUCCAGUCAAAUUGGAUCGAUCAAAUUUCAUGAUUUGGCGAAAGCAAGUUCUUACUACAAUAAGAGGAAAUCGUCUUGAAGAUUUUAUUUCUGGAAAUCAAAUCAUACCAGAACAAUACAUUUCUAAUACAGUAGCUGAUGGAUCAGUACAGAGAAUCACGAAUCCAGCUUACAUCAACUGGCGAGCUCAGGAUCAAACUUUGCUUGGCUGGAUUUUGUCAUCCAUAAGUGAAGGUAUCUUAAAUACUGUUCUUAAUUGCGAAAAUUCAUUUGAAGCAUGGAGAUCAAUUGAAAAACAAUUUGGAGUACAAUCUGAGGCUAGAGUUAUGCAAUUGAGGUAUGAAAUGAAUGUCCUUAGAAAAGAGAAUAUGUCUAUUGAGGAGUACUGUUUAAAAGUAAAAGUUGUUGCUGAUAAGCUUGCUUGUGCUGGUAGCCCUGUGUCUGAGAAAGAUCUGCUAAUGCAAAUUUUGAAUGGCCUAGGACCUGGAUUUCUAGAUCUUGCUUCAAUAAUUACUGCUAAUAGAAUGUCGUAUGAUGAUGCUUAUGCAUUACUCUUAACACAUGAGGCAAGAAUGGAACAAAAUCAUAAUACUAAAGAUCUUUUUAGUGCAAACUAUGGGAUGAUGAAUGCUAACUACUCUCAGUUUAGAGGAAAUAAUAAGAGAGGUGGUUAUAGUGGAUAUCAAGGGCAAUUUAAUGCUGGAAAUAGGAAUCAAAAUGGAGGAAGAGGAAUGUUUUUCAAUUCAUUCUCAAGAGGUUUUCCAGCUGGUGGAUAUACUGGUAAUGCUGGUGGCAGAGGACAGCAAAUGAAUGCAUAUGCUUAUAAACCUGUGCUUAACAACAGGCAUAAUUUCAAUAUGAAUCAUGGCUCAACUUCAAUGUCCAAUGGAAAUGGAUCUGAUGAUAAUGUGCUUAUCUGUCAAAUCUGUCAUAAAGCUGGACAUGCAGCUGAUGUUUGUUGGCACAGACACUUUGAUGGCUAUGCUCCUCAACCCAGACAAUUUGGAAGGGGCAGAGGGCAUAAGUCUGCUUAUAUGGCUAACUUUGAUCCACAAAUUGGCUUUACUUCACAAUUUGAAGAUUCAUUUGCUACAGAAUAUCCUGGUUAUCAUGGGUACCAUCCACCUGAUAUGAAUGCAUCAGUUGCAUCAGUAAGUCAUCACUCAUCUGAUAUGCAUUCUGUACCUGGAGCAGCUUAUAUUGCAAAUUUUGAAGGACCAGCUGAUGAAGGGUGGUAUCUUGAUAGUGGAGCUACGCAUCACAUCACUAACAACAUGGCCAAUAUGCAUAUCAGAGAUCAAUUCACUGGAGCAGAUCAGCUCAUUAUUGGAAAUGGACAAGGUUUGCCCAUAACUCAUGUUGGUGAUGCAUCCUUUCUCUUUAAAAGUUCCAAUUCUACACACAAACACUCACCUAUAGUACUUAAAGAUAUUCUGUUGGUGCCUUCCAUUACCAAAAAUUUGUUAAGUAUCUCGAAGCUUACCACUGAUAACAACUUGUCUGUUGAAUUUCUUGGAAAUGUUUGUUUUGUGAAGGAUUCUCUGAGGGGACAGGUACUUCUGCAGGGUCUUGCUGAGAAAGGGUUAUACAGGCUGUUAUUGAAAUCAUCAUCAUCCUCUCAGUUAUCAUCAUCUUUUCUUUCUCACAUGUGUUCCAAUAAACCUUUGUCUAUGCUUUCUUGUUGUUGUUUCAAUUCUGUUCCUUCUGGAGUUGUUACAGAAUCUCAGAAAUCAUGUAAUCAAACUGAUGAUUCAUCUUGUAAAACUUCAGUUAAUAAAGCUAUUUUGCUUCAUAGAAAGUUUGGUCAUCCCAAUCAUCAAAUAUUAACUCAUAUACUCAAAACAGCAAAAUCUAUUCAUUUACCUGCAUAUCAAAAGCAACAAAUGCAUCAGUACAUCUGUGAGGCCUGUCAAAUGGGCAAAACACAUAAACUUCAUUUUCCAAUUACUGAAACCAAAACCUCCAAAACUCUAGAACUUAUACACACUGAUUUAUGGGGUCCUUCUCCCAUUAUUUCUAGAGAUGGUUAUCAGUAUUAUAUAAGUUUUGUAGAUGACUACAGCAGGUAUACAUGGAUUUAUCCUUUGAAGCUAAAGUCUGAGGCAUUAGAAGUCUUUAAGCUCUUUAAACUGCAGGUUGAAAAUCAGUUUAGCACAACCAUUAAGAUGAUGCAAUCUGAUUGGGGGGGAGAGUAUAGACCAUUCACUGAGUUUUUAAGCCAAUUUGGUAUCAUCUUUAGACAUCCUUGUCCUUACACUCAUCAUCAAAAUGGGUUAGUUGAAAGGAAGCAUAGACAUAUUGUUGAAUUGGGUCUGACUCUCUUAGCUCAAGCUCAACUUCCCUUUAAGUUCUGGUGGGAUGCAUUUCAUACUGCUGUAUAUCACAUCAACAGACUUCCAUCUCCUGUUUUGCACCUUUUAACCCCAUAUGAAAAGACAUUCAAACACAAACCUGAUUAUGAUUUUCUCAGAUGUUUUGGGUGUUCUUGUUAUCCUUACUUGAGAGAUUACAAUAAACAUAAAUUUGCCUACCAUUCUAGUAAGUGCAUAUUCAUUGGUUACAGUCCUUCACAUAAGGGCUACAAAUGUUUACACCCUUCAGGUCGAGUCUAUGUGGCAAGACAUGUUACCUUUGAUGAAUCAGUUUUUCCUUAUGCCACUGAGUUUGUUUUUCAUAGUCAUGCUAAAACUGAUUCUCAAAUUUCUCAUUCCCAUACACCACAGCAAAUCCAUCAUAUCUCUUCUUUGCCUGUCAAUAACAGCACUGGUAAUCUGAACUCUGUAAGAUCUGGAAGCAGCAGUUCAAGUCACUCAGAUCAUCUAGAACAGACAGCAACUGAUCAGAAUUCACAACAAGCUACCAUAAAUGACAGGUCACCUUUUCAUACAUGUCCAACAAUUGUUGAAUCUAUACAAAAUAUUCCAGAACCUCCACAUCACUCUUUGCCUAUACAAAGUCACCAUCCUAGCAACACUUCUUUCUAUCCAUAUACACAACCAAAUACACAUCAGAUGAUAACCAGAAGUAAAGCAGGGAUUUUCAAACCCAAAAUUUAUACUGCUGUGCUUACUCACAAGGAACCAGAUACUGUGCAAGAAGCAUUAAAUGAUUCAAAGUGGCUACAAGCUAUGAGGGAGGAAUAUGAUGCCUUGAUUAAGAAUAAUACAUGGACAUUGGUUCCAAGACAAGCUGAUCAGCAUGUGGUUGGAAAUAAAUGGGUGUAUAGAAUCAAAUAUAAUACAGAUGGAAGUGUAGCUACGUAUAAAGCUAGACUUGUUGCAAAGGGUUUUCAGCAAGUGGCAGGGAUUAACUAUUUUGAGACAUUUAGCCCAGUUGUGAAGUCAGCUACAGUUAGAGUAAUACUUAGCUUGGCAGUGAUGAAUCAGUGGAGAAUAAGGCAAGUGGACGUCAAUAAUGCCUUUUUGAAUGGAGAGCUAACAGAAGAAGUUUUCAUGUCUCAACCUGAUGGCUUUAUUGAUGCUCAGAGAUCUGAUUUUGUAUGCAAAUUACACAAGUCUCUGUAUGGGCUCAAGCAAGCUCCUAGAGCCUGGUAUGACAAGCUUAAAGGAUGCUUAAUAAGCUGGGGUUUCACUACUACUAGUUCUGACACCUCAUUGUUUGUUAGGAAGAUCAAGACAUCUAUGAUCAUAGUUCUUAUAUAUGUUGAUGACAUACUGAUCACAGGUCCAAAUACUGAGGAGCUGGAAGGUUUCAUAACUGAAUUCAGCAAAACUUUUGCUCUAAAGGAUCUGGGAGUGUUAUCUUAUUUCCUUGGAAUUGAGGUAUUAUAUGAUGCAGAUUGUAUGUACUUGUCACAGAGAAAGUAUAUCAGAGAUUUGUUAUCGAAGGUAGAAAUGACUGAAUGUAAGGGCAUUGAUACACCCAUGAGUACUGGCUCUAAACUGCAAAAGAUAGUUCAGGGGGAACUUGGAUACUAUCUUGAAGAUCCAACUCAUUAUAGGAGCAUAGUUGGAGGAAUGCAGUACCUGAUACUUACCAGACCUGAGAUUGCGUUUGCUGUAAACAAGCUCAGUCAGUAUGUAGCUGCACCAACACUACAACAUCUAAUGGCAUGCAAGAGAGUUCUAAGAUAUCUAAAGGCAACUCAAGAUUAUGGUUUAAAAUUUUUCAGAGAAGGAAGCUUAACACUCACUAGUUUUACUGAUGCAGAUUGGGCAUGUGACUUAGAUGAUAGGAAAUCAGUUGGUGCUUAUUGCAUUUAUUUAGGCAAUAAUUUGAUAUCCUGGUCUUCUAAGAAACAAUCAGUGAUAACCAGAUCAAGUGCCGAGAGUGAGUAUAGAGCUUUGGCAUCAGUGAGUGCAGAGCUGACAUGGUUACAAUCCUUAUUUUCUGAGUUGGGAUUAAGUUGCAUAGAAAAGCCAAUCAUAUGGUGUGACAACAUUAGUGCCACUGAACUAGCAAAGAAUCCUGUGUAUCAUUCAAGAACAAAGCAUAUCGAAAUUGAUAUGCACUUCAUUAGGAAUAAGGUUCUUGCUGGUGAGUUGAUUAUUCACUAUGUACCAAGUGAAGAACAGAUUGCAGACAUAAUGACCAAGCCUCUUUCAUUUGUAAGGUUUAACUACUUGAGGUCCAAACUCAAUGUCCAUCUUUGUCCUCUGAGUUUGAGGGGGGCUGUUAGAGCAACUCAUUAUGCUGAACAGAAGAAGGUGAAGACUAAGAUGAAGAAAAUACAGAGCAAGUUACAAGGCAAGUGUGUCAGCAGUGCCAGCUCAGCUAACAGCUCAGCAGAUUAGUUAAAGAUGGUUGUAAGCAUGAUGUGCAUUGUACUGAAGUUAGUUAGCUUUGAUUACAGUUAGUCUUUGGAUUAGUUAAAUGAAGUUACCGUGAUUGCAUACAGGUGAUGCUUUGUAAAAAGGUUAAGCAAAAUAAAAAUCAAAGUUUGUUAAGGAAGUAUCUCCAGAAUUAUCAAUUCAUUUUCUUAGUAACCAAACAACUUUAUUUUCAUUUUCUUUCAAUAUGGAUAUCUGGGGUUUGUUUUGUCUUUUAGGAGCAGCAUUACCUGUCGAAAGUUCAAAGAGCUCACUGAACUUAAGCAUUCGGGGUUGAAAAUGGACGAGAUAUAUGCAGUGGAGUUCAUUGGAGGAGCUACUAUAGUGCCAAAGUUGCAGGUUUGCAAUAUCCGCUUUGUUUUGGUAGUUAGCCCGAGUAUUAAAUUCUUGAGGCGUGUAAGGUAGUGGACUUUAGCCAAUUCAAGAGUAGAAUAUAAUAUGUUUACUUGUUUUGAUCUUAAUCUUUAAUCACUUACCCUGAAUAAGAAAUAAUUUUUUAUAUUUGCUCUGCUAUGAUGUUAUUCGGUGUUAAUAGCUUCGUUUUAUUGCUCUUUUCCGCACAAAUUCUUGAUCUCAAAAGAACUUUUAUUUUGAAUAUUCUGCGUAAGGACAAUCUGAUUUAAUACCAUCAGUGAUUUUUCAUUUUUUCUCUUUAGUUUUAAUAUGUUUGAUAACUGUAUGGUUAAGCAAUCUAUGCAAUUUUAUCUUGUCGUAUGUUUGAGCUCAUUUUUUGUUGCACUUCUGAAUAUUUGGUAUUAAUUAUGUGAUAUCGGACAAUACUAUUAACUUGUUAAUUGCUUAAAUCUAAUAUCUUGUCAAAGUCACUAAUAGCAUUUCAUCAUGCAAUGAGUUAAACAUGGAACAAAUGAUGACAUGCGGUUGUGGAAUGUGUUAGAUCUCUGGGAUUCUAUGUCCUUAUGCUUGCAGGGCAACACAAUACAUU